ACAGUUGAUGUUUUGAAUGUUUGGACACCAGCAGCAUAGUUGAGGUCUCCGGUGAUCUUUGUCUUAGUAGCACCAUCACCGAUCAUCAUAAUAUGGGACAAGCUCCUUGAGAUGGUGACUUGCUGCUUGUAGAUCCCUUUCUUUAUAUAUAUAACAAAUGUUGUGUUUUGCUUCUUGGGAAUCUUGUGAACAGCUUCAUUAAUAGUCUUGUAUUGGCCACUCCCGUCUUUAGCAACAACGAUAUCAGGCUUAAUUGUGUCUGGAGUUUGUGCAAGUAGUCUCCUUUUUUCAUGGGACAACCAGGAAGGAAACUCAGAGUUAUCUUUCAACAGUCUACGUCCUGUAAAUCCUGCAAGGUUCAAAUCCUUAAGCGUGGAAGAGAGACCAGUGAUCAAAGCAAGACCGUUGCUGCUAAGUUGACUAGAAAGAGUUAGGAUUUCCUUCAUUUUGGCUCCGGCUGGACCAGUAGUAUUGUCAAAGCCAUCCAAACAAGUUUGUUGAUAAGUGAUGGUGGCGCUAAGCCAAGUCUUGAGAUUUGCCAGAUACUCAUCCAUUUUAUUAACAUCAAAGUGUUCAACUUCUUCGAAGGAAACCUUGAGAUCAUGAAUGGCGUCGUCCAUUAAUUCUUUGCAAUUAUCAAGCGCUUGUUUUGCCAUUGGAUCUUUUGCUACAUCUUUUAAUGUGGAUGAGUUCUGUAAGGCUUGUUGAAGAGCAUCAAUGGUCACCUGAAAGCCGGCCUGUACAAGCUUGAGAGGAUCGGUGGUGUUUCCUGCGGCUUUGCUAAGACUUUUUCCACAGAUUUCUCUGUAAUCCGUAGGUUGGCAGAUAGCCUGGACUGACUUCGACGACGUGGAUAUUUCGGCCGAAGCGUUUGAGCCAUUUUGGUGGUCGCCGCUGUUGAUUCCAUAUGCCACAGCAAUCACCAUAGCCACCAGAAGAAAUGAUGCGACGCCAAAAAUGGCAUACUUCUUUUUCUUCCCGGUUGGAUCUCCGGCGCCGCCACCAGCCAUCUGCGUUAGUCUUAGUUUAAGCUACAAAACCACCAAUCUUCUUGUUUUUUUUAGGAGAAUAUGAUCAAGAAGAGAAACAAAAUUGGAGGAAAUAAAAACCUAAUCAAUGUUAUUAAGAAGUAUACAGAGCUGUUGGGGCUUUAAGAUUAUUGAAUAAAUGCCCCGAAGCUCUGACUUGGGAAAACAAAGCAUAGAGAAACCCUUUAUAUAUGAAGUGAAAUUCUAAAAAACUGUUAUUUCUGUUACAAAUUUGUGGGGUGUGGAAGAGACUUUACUAAAAUUAGGGUAAUUUUUUCCGAUAAUAAUAGUACUUUUAAAACAAUGUUUAUUUCUUCUUUUAUUACUCAAUCAAUAAAAUAAUAAUAUUUGAUUUCUUAUUUAAAUUCAAGAAUAAUAAUAUCUAUAUAAAUAUUUUUAUGAUUUCUUUUUGUCUAAAUUGACUCAAAUUAAAAUUUUGAAGAUUGAAAAAAUUAAUAAAUUAGUUAUAAUUUCAUUUAUACAAAUUGCCUAUUUUUAUUUGAGAAAUAUUAUAUAUCUAAUAUAUUCAAAUUAAAAGAUAUUAUUUUGUAUAUUCGAAUUAAAAAAAUUUAUAAAUGGAUAAAAUAUUAAUUUUUACUCAAAAUAACGAGUUGUAAAAUUAUAAUGAGUAACUUACUUAAAGAUAAUAAACACAACACUAAUUUUAACCUUUGCUAUAUAUUUAGAUGUAUAUAUCACUUAGUAUAAAUGUAAAAAAAAAAAAAAAAAAAAAGUUCUUAUUGUCUUUAAUAUUUUAUGUACUUUUUUUUAACUAAUUAUGAAUAUAGAUUGUCAUUGAUGAUUAUUUAAAUAAUAAAUUAAUGAUGAAAUUAAUUUCAUCAAUAAUUUUAUUAAUUAUUGUUUUUUUUUAAUAUUUUAAAUUAUUAUAGGUUGAAAAUAAAAUUUUGUUGUUAAAAAAUUUAUAAUAAAGUGUUUCCAAGUAAGACAAAAAUGAACAUAUAUGGAUUUUCAGUUGGAAAAAUAUAUUUGUAUUUGUAUAAUAAUAAAUAUUUUAUCAAAACUCUACUAGAAGUAUUAUUAUCAAAUUGUACUGAAAAACUAUUAUGCUUUAUUACAUAAUUACAUGUAUAUGGCAAAAUUAAUAUAGUAUUCAGAAUGUGGUUUACAAGUUAAAUUAUUAUGUAUGAAGUCAACAAAUAUAAAGUAUUAUACAUAAAAUUUUAUUAUAAAAUGUCAAAUUCCAUUGUACCAUGGCAUAAUUUUAAAAUUAUAUUUAUAAAUAUAUAAUUUAUGAUAAUUAACCCACGCAUCGCGCUGGCUGGUGAGGUAAUAUAUAAUAAAGUAAAAACCAAAAUUUACAAUUAUAACCCUAUUUUAAUUUAAGUUCAUUCAGUUGUAAAAGCAGGUCGCACAAGCUAUAAGUGAUUUUUUUUUUUUUUUUUUUUUUACAAGUGUAAUUUUGAAAGCAGCUGAAUGAAUUAGAUGAAUUAUAUGUAUAAUUCAUAGUAAAAAUUUACUAUUUUAUGAAAUAAAGUUUAUAUAUCUACAUUUUCAAAUAUUAUUAAUUUGAAAAAAAUAAAAUAAACGAUUAAUUAUGUGUUUCAAACUCUUAUUUUUAAUUUUUUACCAAUGUAUGUUAUACAUUGAAUAUUUAUUUUAACUUUUACGUAUGCAAAAUAUAAGAUUAUUCAUUAAACAUAAUUUUAAUUAAAAAAUUUCAAUGUUAGAUACGUAUGUAAGAAUGGUUUAUUAAUUUUUUAAAGCCAAGCUAGGUUUUAUCGACUCUAUUUUCAUCUUUUUUUUUAAUUUUAUUUUUUAUUAAACUGAUUUCCAUCUUAUGUCCAAUUUUUACAUCUUUACUAUAUAUAUGUUUUUUAUUUCUAAUAUGAUUAAGUGAUUUUAAGAAUUAUUCUCUCCAAUUUUUAACUUUAUAAAUUGGAAAAAAUAAAUAUAUACUACACUCUACAUAAUUCACUGCUUAGAAAUUAAGCCAACAAAUUGUGUGAGCAUGAAUAUUAUUUUUUUAAUUAGUUAUUUCAACUUAAUUGUCAUGGUUAAAUUUGAUUCAUCCUUAUAAAUAUCAAAAUUUUCAUCCUAACAUAAAAUUUUUAAUUAUUGUAAAUUAAAUUUAUUUUUUUGUAUUAAUAUUAAAAAUAAUUUACCGUAACAUUACGCGGUUCUAUCUAGUCGUAUUAACAAUAAUAAUAAUCCCAAAUCAAUAAGCACGGGUAAAGAAUGUUUGACAUUGUCUCAGUUCAACGGGGACAGAUUUUUUUUAAAUAUUUUCAAUUUAUCUUUUUUUUUAAUGAAUAAUUAUAAAUACUUAUAAUUAUUUUUCAUUAGUUUAGUUUGUUUUUUAAAAAUAUUUUUAAUUUAUUAUUUUUUCUAAUGAUUAGAAAUAUCUAUAUUUGAUCAGAUAAUUAUUCUUAUUAGUUUAAUUUAUGUAAAGAACUAUAGAUGGGUCUAGACAAAUUAAUUCCAGUAAAAUGAGGAAAAAUAAAAAAAAAGGCCAAAAAGCUUUUUAAUUUCUUUUUUUUUUUUUUUUUUUUUUUAAAUACGGCUUUGGCAAGCAGCGGUACAACUUAACAUAAAAACUACUACAAUCAAUAAAUUUCGCUCUCCUCCUUAAUAGGUCUCCUUUAUACGUUCAUCAUUCCAGAAGCAUAACUGACGCCGGUUGCCGGAAUCCAAAGAUCUCCGCCAAUGAAUUUAGCAACAGUGAAAGCAGCAGCAUCCUGUGCCGACAAUUUCUUGAUACCCUUCCAUGUAACUCUAUCCUUGGUGACUGAACCAGGUCCUCUAUUUUCGUACUCGGAGUAAGAGAGAGUGUCAAGAGCAAAAGAACCCAUCCAUGGCAACCAUCCCUUUGGAUCAAUCAAAUCAUCGAUUUGACAUUGCAUGUAUACAGUCCUUGAGUACUCUUUCCAUGGGCGACCAAGAUAGGCCUUGUUCUCGAAUCUAACAGGAUAAUACUCUGGGUCUGCGGUAAUAUUGCAGUUUUGGAGAACAAAACCAGUGGCUUCGCGUGAUUCAUUCCUUCCUUGAGCAGUCACAACGCAAUUUUGAUUUUCCAAUGGCUUCCUGACCACAAUCUUGCAAUUCUGGAAGACUGCGGCGGCGUCACCAAAGAUGAAGUCAAUAGUGCCUGUGAUGGUGCAAUCGCGGUAGAACUGACGGUGGGUGUGAGCAAAAAGGGUAUCUUGGUAGCCAUCCAUUUGGCAAUUGUAGAAAAUAGACAUAUCAGAUUGAACCCUAAGUGCCACAGCUUGAUGUCCGAUAGCUCCUGCUGUGUUCUCAAAUCCAAUGUCCUUGGCUAUGAAGUGGUUUCCACUCACCGCUAUAAUAAUUGAUUAAACCACAAAUAUAUCAUUAAUUAGACAAAAGUUAAAACAAAAAGAAGGAAUUUAGAUAUUACUACUUACAAACAGUUGAUGUUUGGAGUGUUUGGACACCAGCAGCAUAGUUGAGGUCUCCGGUGAUCCUUGUCUUAGUAGCACCAUCACCGAUCAUCAUAAUAUGGGUCACGCUCCUUGAGAUGGUGACUUGCUCCUUGUAGAUACCUUUCUUUAUAUAUAUAACAAAUGUUGUGUUUUGGUUCUUGGGAAUCUUGUGAACAGCUUCAUUAAUAGUCUUGUAUUGGCCACUCCCGUCUUUAGCAACAACGAUAUCAGGCUUAACUGUGUCUGGAGUUUGUGCAAGUAAUCUCCUUUUUUCAUGGGACAACCAAGAAGGAAACUCAGAAUUAUCUUUCAACAGUCUACGUCCUGUCAAUCCUGCAAGGUUCAAAUCCUUAAGCAUGGAAGAGAGGCCAGUUAUCAUAGCUAGACCGUUGCUGCUAAGUUGACUAGAAAGAGUUAAGAUUUCCUUCAUUUUGGCUCCAGCUGGACCAGUAGUAUUGUCAAAGCCAUCCAAACAAGUUUGUUGAUAAGUGAUGGUGGCGCUAAGCCAAAUCUUGAGAUUUUCCAGAUACUCAUCCAUUUUACUAACAUCAAAGUGUCCAACUUCUUCGAAGGAAACCUUGAGAUCAUGAAUGGCAUCGUCCAUUAAUUCUUUGCAAUUAUCAAGCGCUUGUUUUGCCAUUGGAUCUUUUGCUACUUCUUUUAAUGUGGAUGAGUUCUGUAAGGCUUGUUGAAGGGCAUCAAUGGUCACCUGAAAGCCGGCCUGGACAAGCUUGUGAGGAUCGGUGGUGUUACCUGCGGCUUUUCUAAGACUUUUUUCACAGAUUUCUCUGUAAUCCGUAGGUUGGCAGAUAGACUGGACUGACUUCGACGACGUGGUUAUUUCGGCCGAAGGGUUUGAGCCAUCUUGGUGGUCGCCGCUGUUGAUUCCGUAUGCUACAGCAAUCACCAUAGCCACCAGAAGAAAUGAUGUGACGCCAAAAAUGGCAUACUUCUUUUUCUUCCCGGUUGGAUCUCCGACGCCGCCACCAGCCAUCUUUAUUAGUCUUAGUUUAAGCUACAACACCACCGAUCUUCUUGUUUUUUUUAGGAGAAUAUGAUCAAGAAGAGAAACAAAAUUGGAGGAAAUAAAAACCUAAUCAAUGGUAUUAAGAAGUAUACAGAGCUGUUGGGGGUUUAAGAUUAUUGAAUAACUGCCCCGAAGCUCUGACUUGGGAAAACAAAACAUAGAGAAACCCUUUAUAUAUGAAGUGAAAUUCUAAAAAACUGUUAUUUCUGUUACAAAUUUGUGAGGUGUGGAAGAGACUUUACUAAAAUUAGGGUAAUUUUUUCCAUUUGACUAAGAUAAGGGAUCUAUCUUUCGCAGUAAAAUAGGUUUAGAGCUGACCAAUUCUCAUUGUUGGCAAUGCAUAAGAAAAUUAAGGGUAAUUGGAAGUUCUUUUGCCUGUUUAUUUUGAAAUAACAUAUUAAAGUACUUUUGAUCAAAGUUAAUUAAGCAACUGUAUUUAAGUUUAAAAUCUACAUAAUACAUAUAGUCUGCUUAAAAUUCCAUGGACCCAACCGCGCCCAAACCCAUCUUUCAUAAGGGGUCAAGGUAAUAUUCGUCCAUUACAACCUGAACAAGGUAAACCAGAAGCCAGUCUUUCCAUUUUCGGACCCUAAAUUUCAGAAAUGCUUGCGACCUUUCCAAGCUGAAAAAGAAAAAGGUAAGGGUAUUCGUGAGAUCGUACGUAGAGAAAGAAUGUGUUUCAGCUAUAUUUGCCUGCUUUGAUUAUCAUUCAUCCAUUUUUGAGUUCUUUCUUGAAGGAAUAUUGGGCAAAUAGAGGUUGAUCUAUGGAUAGUGAUGAGAUUAAUUAAUGGUUUUAGUCAUCAUUAAUUAGGUUUUCAUUCUAUUUUCUUGGGCAUAUUAUUACUUCCCUUUUCUUUUUUCUUGGGAAUUAUUAGGUUGAUCCAUUUUGCAUUAUAUUGAUAUAUAUUUUUCUAUUCUUUCAUUUGAUGUCAGCAAUUAAAAUGAUCUCUUCAAAUUUUACUUGUUAGAAUCAAUUUUUUUAUAUUUUCCUUUUCAAAUUAAUUGAAAUUGAAAUUAAUUGUAUUUCGUACAUCGAGUAUUUGAAAGGAGUGAUGUGAUAAAGAUUAAAAAUUAAUCAAAUACUUAGCAAGAACAUUUUGCUCCUUAAUGGACCAAUCCAGGGUGAACAAGAUUUAAUUUUAAACUGCUUAAAUUAAAAUGAGUAACAUGACUAAGAUGAGUGGUGUGACGAGGAUUUAAUCUUAAUAAAUUAAACAAAUACUUACCGAAGAUCUUUGCUUCUUGAUAGACCAAUCCAGGAUGAACAAGAUUUAAUUUUCAACGAAUUGGCCGAAAAUACCUAUGAUUAAUAUAAAAAAAAUUAGUUGUCCAUCGUGUUGAGGCAAGGUUCUGAUAAUCCAUUUUACUGUUUUUUUUUUCUUUUCUUUUCUUUUUUACCGUUAGCCUAUAUUAAUAUAAAAGUAAGAAAUCAAAUCAUAUCCCAUAAAUCAGAAUAUUAUGAAUUGUUAAUGUACAUAAUCUAAAGGUAAAUGUAAGUAUCUAUUUUUUAGAAACAAGAAUAAACACUAGUUUUUGUGUGCUGGUAUUGGCAUUGGUAUGUGUUUUUUGACAUUAUGUCUCAUUAGGCUUUUAUUUAUCGUUACAGAGAUAUACCACUUCUCUUUUAAUUUAUUGUGCCCUUAUUUAAUCAUAUCUAUCAAUUCCUUCAAAGCUUAGCUCUCUGUAAUUCCAACUUGGCAAUGGUACCCAUGUGGACUUCAUCGGGGCCAUCUGCAAUUCUCAAUGUUCUUGCUGUGGCCCAAAGAUGUGCCAAUACGGUGUCGGAUGAUAGACCAGCUGCACCAUGUACUUGCAUUGCCCUGUCAAUCACCAUCAGUGCCAUGUUUGGAGCUGCUACCUGUUCCACAUAACCCAAAUUCAGAAUAAGUCAAAAAUGUGCUGUAUUUUGCAUUAGCAAGACCAAAGAUUAUUACCUUCGCCAUUGCAAUAGUUCCUCUUGCUCUUUUGUUCCCAAGCCGAUCAAGCUGGUCUGCUGCCUCCAAAACCAAUAAUCUGGUUUUCUCCAGCUCUAUUCGACACUGCAUUAGUCAAAUUUGAAAUACCGUUAUUAUAGAGCUUAGGUGUGGGCAGGCAGGCGAGAUAAAUAAGGGGGCAAAAAAAAAAAAAAAAAAAAAAGANNNNNNNNNNNNNNNNNNNNNNNNNNNNNNNNNNNNNNNNNNNNNNNNNNNNNNNNNNNNNNNNNNNNNNNNNNNNNNNNNNNNNNNNNNNNNNNGGAAAAAAAAGGGGGAAAAAAAAAAAAAAAAAAAAAAAGAUACGUUAACACGAAGGGGAGGACAGAAUUCUAACUCAAUAACCCAACUUUGCUUUUUUAACUCGAUACUACAGGGCAUUUGGGUGUGCCUGAAUAUUAAAAGUAUCCCCUUCCCCCAAACCAUUUUUGGUCCAUAGAUAACAAAAAAAAAAAUAUAUCUAUCUAUCACACACCUUGGCAAUAUCUGAACGAAAUGAACCAUGCUCAGCAAUCAAUUUUCCAAAUGUUUUUCUGCUGAGAGCCCUUUGAACCAUCAACUCCAUUCCCCGCUCUGCAGCACCUAUCAAUCUCAUGCAGUGGUGCAAUCUUCCAGGGCCCAGUCUACCCUGCAAGGAUGUAAAAUCAUUAGAGAUGAAAUAUUUACUUAAAAAUGGGAGAAUCAACAACAUCACAAAAUAUAGAUGUUAAACAUUCAGCCAACCCGACUAGACCAAUUCUCAGUGGCAAAUAAAUCACCUCCAUUGUCCAAAUAGAGAACUCAUAAAUAUCGCCAGCAUUAAUGGAUUCUAUUUUUUAAAAAGCAUGUGGGACUACACAUAUAGAACCCAAAUCUGGUAAAGCAACUUAUGAAUUAUGUCCAUAAAAGUUUGCACAGAAGUUAAAUGAAGCUUACACUGAGCUUGUCAGCAGAAUUUGACUGCCUCAGAAAUUAAAUUGAAUUGAAAUUUUAUCCAAAACCAACUAGUAUAACAAAGAAAUCCAUUACAUUACCUGCAAAGGAAGGAAGCAACUUUACCUGUGCAAUCUCAAAUCCACGUCCUUCACCAAGAAGGAUGUUCUUUGCGGGCACAAAUACGUUUUCAAAUGAAAUUUCAGCAUGACCAUGAGGUGCGUCAUCAAAGCCAAAGACCGUGAGUGGCCUCUUUAUGUGUAUGCCUGGAGUCCGAACAUCCACUAGGAUCAUGGAUUGCUGCUUAUGCUUAGCUGCAGAGAAGUCAGUUUUUCCCUGCAUAUUGUUCACAUUGAUUUUUUUUUUUUUUUUUUUUUUUUUUGUGAAAAUAAGAAUGGCAUUAAAAUGAAGAAUUCUCAGUUACAAGGAUAGCAAAACAUGAGUUUUAAACUACAUGAACAAUUAACAGGACUGCCCUUCUCAAGCAUACUGGAGGAACUAACCAUAACUAUAAGAAGUUUACACCUAGGAUCCAUGGCGCCACUUGUCCACCACUUGUUCCCAUUAAUGAUAUAUGAAUCCCCUUGUCUGUACAAGAAAAGCAGAUCUGGUUACAAAGCACUAGAGCAGAAAACAAAAAAACCUUUGCACAAAUCACAGGAUUAUUACAAACAUAACAUCCAAGGGAGUGAGAUAAUUUCAUCUAGAAGUUCAUUGAUAUCUUCUUUUUAUAAAACAAAUCAACUUCAAUUCUUGAAUAAUCUGGGCCCCAUUAACUACCUUCUAAUAGAACACUCAAUAUUUGUAGCAUCUGAUGAUGCAACUUGUGGUUCUGUCAUUGCAAAUCCAGAACGGAUCUUGCCCUCAAGCAAAGGAAUAAGCCAUUCAAGUAGCUGUUCUUUGUUCCCAUAUCGCAGCAAUACCUAUUAAGGAGACAAAAACAAUAUAAUUGCACUCAGAGGCAGUAAAAAAUCACAAAGCCAAAAAUAGCAAACAAUAAAGCCAGACAGAGUUUCAAAAAGCUUUUCUGAUGCAUGUUCAUUCAAAUAUUUCCUGGAUGGAGUUGAAGCAAUGCAGGAUUUAUGUAGCACAUGCAUCUUGCUAUAAUACUCUCCCAGGGUAAAAUCACUCCUACAAUCUUUAUUCAAGCAACUUUUUUACUCUCUUUACUUUCAAAUUUUCUUGUAUGGCAAAGUAUUACAACGGCUACUUAAGGCCAUGUGAUGACCACACUAAUAAAUUGUUCCAUUCCAGACCUUAAAGAACAUGAAACUAACUUUUACCUCCAUAUUUCCAGUGUCAGGUGCACCACAAUUGAAUACUUGCGGAGCCCAAUUAGAACGACCCAUGAUCUCGCAAAGGUAUCCAUAUUCAAGGUUUGAGAGGCCAGCACCAAGUAAUUGAUCAUGUGUGCCAUUGGAGGCGGCAAAACUACUUUCAUCAAAGAUAAGUUUUCUCGCUCUUUCGGCACUGUCAAACUGCAGAAAAAAAACAUGAGUGCACUUGAAUUCAUGAUUCAAACUCAUCUCCUGCUAUGAUCGAUGGUAAUAAUAACAGAAAGACAAACAUAUAGCCCAGAAAGACGGGAAAGGAAAUACAGGUAUCCAUAAGUUCCACAAUCCUUCUUUCUUUGCCAGCUCCUUUAAUCUCUCCUCCUCUGGGUGCACCGUCCAACGUGAUGAAGACUGAGCAAGCUUGUAGAACUCAUUUUCCAAAGGAUAUAUGUGAUCUUCCAUAAACUUAAUUAAUUUUUUUCUCAAUUCCAGCACCUUUUUGCUGGGAACAAACCUCCCAGUUUCUUCUGAAAUGCCUUGAACUUUCCUCUUACUGCCAAUUUGUGUUACGUAGUCCAGUGCAAUUGCGCCUGUAUAGUAAAAAGAAGAAUCACGUUAGGUGAUGAUAUUGAUUACACCAAAUGUAAUUUUUGUUUUUUAGAAAAAAAGGGAAGUUAACGUAUGUUUGACAGACAUUCAGACUAACAUCUUUUUAUAACAUUUCUAAUAGGGAAAUGCCUUUGGUGCAGCUGGGGAGGCAGGUAAAUAAGAGAAUUUCAUAGCCUUUUUUGAGAACUAUGUCAACAAAAAUUCUCUACUGCUGUGAAGUAUACAUAAACAUUGUGUAUAUGCAGCUUCAUCCUUUACAAUCCAAGAACUUCUUACUCUUUUCCAGAAACAUCAACAUUAUACUUUUAAAUAUAGAAUACAGAGGAAAGCGUGUCACAAUGAGCUGAAAGGAAACCUUAGCAUAUUUCUUUUAUUAUCAGCCACACCUUUUAAAAAAGUUCCUCUCAUACAGCAUGACAUAUCAUUAUGAUGUUCUCAAAAGAAUUUUUCUAGGAAUUUUCUGAUAAUAAAUUAUUUGGUGACCAAUAAAUUAUAAAAUGGUUAUAUUACCAGAUGGAGGGUGAUCAGGAAGCACAGAUUUUCUUGCAAUAAAAGCCCAUGCAGAGUCUAUGAGACCAUUAGCAUGAUUUCCGGCAUUUCGGGCACGCUCACCUCCUGUAGCAUUACCCUACAUUUGUGACAAAAUGUUAUGCUAAUACAUUAAACUUCUAUCAGAGAGCUUUUGCUACAAGAUUAGCAGUAGAAUUUAGCAAACUGUCAUUAAGACAUUACCAUAAUCCAUCGACUAUGUACACCUGCAUAAAUUGAUGCCGCACGGAACAUAGCAAAAGCUACGUAGAACUUCCAUACAUUAGCUGGCCAUGGUUUUCCCUAGAUUGCAUUAUUUCCAGCACAAAAAACAGCAUUUCAAUCAGUUCAACAAACAUGUCUAAGACAUCCAUCAUAAGCAUCUAUGAGACCAAAACACCAGGUAAUAAAUGAACAAGUAACCCAUUGUUAUAGAAGUGUAAAAGUUUUCUUGAAUUAGUCCUCACAGGUUUUCUGGACUUCCAUGAAAAUAGAUCUUAUUCAAAUAUCAAGUCAGUUUCCCAUAUGUUUUUUAGUACUAAAACUAACAUCAGAAAUUUAUAAGAAUAAGCAUUUGGCAUAGAAUAUAUAGUCUGCAGACCUGAUGGAUUGAUAAUUUUAGCCUGACUGUAUGCAUUCGUCAAUCGCCCACUACGUCUCUAGUUCGAAAAAACUCAAUGCAUAAAAUUUUCUACAAAAUUUAAUUUCCUCACGGACUUGAAAUUUGGAAAACAUGCCUGGACAGCAGAAUUAAAUCAAUACUUCGGAAAGGCUCUUACAGAUGCAGAGCAGUAUUCUGUAAGAUAUUCUGCCUGUGAAGGAAUCCCUUCUGGAAUGCCAGUAAGUUCAAAACCUUUAAUCAAUUGUUUAUUGUCAAGGUUAAAAUCCACUGUGUAAGCCUGCCAAGAAAGAAGAAAGCAAUUAAGUUAAACAUAUUGCUAAAGUAACAUUAAAGCUUUCACCAAUUGUGCAAAUCAAUAAAGCUCAAGCAAAAAUAUUGCGGCUUUUGCAUCAUACAUAAAAAAGAAAAUGCAAAGAUAAAAAAGAUGUGUUACCAAACAGCUGUAUGCAACAUCACUCAUUUGAUUUCCAAGAGUGGACAAUUCCCAGUCAAGAAUACCAAUUACUCGGUCCUGCACCGGUAGGGUUACUCAUCAGGCUAAUUACUCCAAUAAUUUAAGCUGUUCCAGACUAUUCAUUGAAGUUUAAGUUUGAAGACACUAGGAAUAACAAAGCAUACAUGGUAAUUGGUUCACAUCUCUUCCUCCAUCAGACUUUGAUGGAGACAAUUAUGUCAAACCGCUAAGGACCCAAAUCAAAGCUGAAAACAUAUGCAUUUGAACUAAUAAGAACCUUCAGAGCAACGGACCUCAGUGGGGUGAAAUACAACAUUAUCAAUGCGAAAGUCCCCAUGAACUAGACCUGCAGAUGCCCCAGAAGAAUCUUCAGGAGGAAUGUGUUGCAGUAACCAAUUAGAGAGCUCCAACAUCUUUGGAUUUCUUGGAGACUUGCCCUCACCAGUCGAUGAGAUGUACUGUUUAGUCCAUCUCUCUAUCUGAAAAAGAAAACCAUAAGCGACAUCAUCGAGUUGUAAGGCAACACUUCAAGCCAAAAACUUCCAGUUGUACUUUUCCUCCAAACUCCAACACAACGUCUAUGUUGCCCCUUUCUAAAUUAGCCCAGAAUUAGAGAAGCUAAUAUCUAGAGUUAAAACCAGUGUACCUGUCGUUUACAAUAGUUAUCCUUCCGUCCAUAUCUUCCCAGGCCAAUAGCAUCUACAUUAGCAGAAUGUAAAGCAGCCAACACUCUUGCAGUUUCUUGAUAUAUUGCCCUCCUGCUGUUUGGCGCCACGCCCUGAUCAAACAAGCAUCGGCUCAAUUACACUAACCUUCCAACUUAUAUCACAACAAUUCACAAAAAAAUUUGAACUAUUGUAUUUGCGAUGCCAAAUUUGCAAAAAAAAAAAAAAACCAGAUAGUAAUGCCAUACCGGUAGCUUAGGGUCUAUGAAAAUGCGACCUUCUAGAUACUCCAUAAUAUAAAAUGCAGUUCCAAUUAUACUUGGAUCUGUACACAAACAGAAAACUUUAGGAACAGGAACUCGCGUGUGUUCCCCCAGCGCCCGCAAAACCUGUUAAAUUAAAUUAAAAAUAUUAAAAACAACACAGAAUUAAGCUCCAUUUUAUUAUUUUGAUAGCAUAAUAAUUUGCUCCUUUCAUUUUUCAUUCAAUGAAGAACAGAGAGAGAGAAAAAAAAAUUACACUUAUACCAAUCAAGUCUAAACCAAUUAACCGAAACUACCAGAUAUUCUCUGUCUACAGCAUGAGCAGACUGGAGCAAUUUGCCAGGAGGCUUCUUCCUCAAAACGUAGCGUUUAACGGAGGCUCCUGUUCCCACUUCCAACAGAAACGUAGGAUUCGAUUGUCCGUGCCCGAACUAAAUUAGUACAUAAAUACAAGCAAACAGAACAUCAUAAUUAAGAGAAGGAGAAGAAAGGAAAUUCCAAAAGAAAAUUAAAUCCUAAUAAAAACCUGUUUGACGAUGAAGGUGGAGGGAGAGACGGGGAAACCAGCAACAUUAGCAGAGGCGUAGCGAAACAAAGCGUCACGGUCAAACUCGUGAGCUUGCUGAACUUGCCUUAAUAACUCAGAUGUAUGGAUCGCCAUUUUCAAUUUCGUUUUGUUUGGUAACAAAAAUUAGAGAAAAGGAAGAAGAUUAUAAGAUUAGAGAUUAGGCCGUUUCAACCAUAUGACAUGAACACGGAAGCAAAAGGCCGAAGGGAGGAACCGGGAACUAGGGACGUGUAAGGAAAUGGGUCUUGGACGGUGGUGAUAUUAUCGUCUGGCUUCGAACAAAUCGAGAAAACUUGCAAACGUGGUGGAUUAUUUAUCUGUACUCUCGAGACCGAUGUGUACGCACGUCAAGCGCGGAGAUUGCUGCCUUGUUGGGAUUCGUACUUUUUUGAUUAAGAGCGCGUGUUGAAGCUGCGAGGGUGGUGAAUUCCCAAUGAUUGCAAAUUAUUUAAAUUAUCCUAGAGAAUGGGGAUCGCGGCAGACGGCAGUAUGGGAUACGCUUCACGAUGGAGUUUUGUCACUUAGAUAAACUUAUUUACAUAAUUGUAAAUGAUUAUAAAUGAUUUCAGACACUGUUAUGAAAUGCGGAAAUGGAUUUUUCCUUUUAAUUUUUUUAAAUGAAUGGGGAAAUAGAUUUAAUUGUCUUAAUUUUUAAUAAAAUGAAAAUCCAGUAAGGAAUUUUCCUUUUACUACUGGAAACUAUCGACAUAGGUCCAAUACCAGUGGGCCCAAUGCAAUUUCAGGAUUGGGGUCCAACCACCGUAAUCAAUUAGUACAACGGGAAAAAAAUCCAGAAACAUGCAAGACAAACACACGUAGCACAAAAUUAUGAAAUUGUUCUGCAAAUAAAAAAACAACCACAAAUUAUUAUUUUUUUUUUUUGAAAAGAACAACCACAAAUUAUUACUACGAAAGAAGCAACAUUUUGAUUAAACAUAAACAUGUUAAACAGUAGCCAGCCUCUUCGGCCCACAAGAGCUUACGGCUGCUCAUCAACUGCUGGUGUCAUAGCCUUCACCUACAACCCAAAAAAAAAUCAAAACAACAAAUUCAAUCCACCUCGUCUUUACCUAGAUCAUAAUUCAGCUUCACAUUGUCUACACUUUGUUUUGGAUUGGUUAUGUUCUAUGAUAUGCCAUGGCUCUAGCACAAGGAAAUUUAAUAAACAAAACUCUCUUGCUCUUAGUAGAGAUGUCUAGUACAUGAGUAUAUUUGAAAAUCCUUCACUGUUAUGAUAUAAUUGAAAAGCAGUCUAAGAGGACAAAAGGAGUCGACCAGUUCGAAUAAGAUUACUAACCAGAUUGCGAAACUUGAGAACAUAAAACAUCUCCAAGUAUCGCCUUAUCUCUCUCCUCUCAAGCUUAGACACAUGCUUCCAGAAGCCAUAAACUCCAGCUAAUGUCAGCAACCUCUCAGAAUAUAUCUUCCAUGUAUACCUACAAAACUCAAAAUUGAGGGAAUUGGUAAAAACGACCAUUUUCACGGGCAAGAACAAGGUAAAUUCUGAAAGCAAGAAACGGAAAUACUUCUCAUAAAUUCUUUUAAGCCCUCCAUCAGAAAUCUUGUUCCAGUAGCUAGGAUCUUCCUUGCACCGUUCAAAGAAAUUGAUGAGAAGUGCAGCAGCACAUUCAGGCUGAUGGGGGUCAACAUGGAACCCUGAAAUCCCAUGCUCAAUGAUCUCAGCAGGACCACCGUGACAAGUGGCAAAAGUAGGAAGUCCAGAAGUCAUGGCUUCCACAACAGUGAGGCCAAAAGCUUCAUAGAAAGCAGGCUGAAAUAAAAUACAUGCAGUUAAUAAAGUAAAUUUUGCAAAGAAGCUGAGGUUAAGAAUUUUGGUGUUCUACUCCACAUACCUGUACAAAAGCACCUUUUGCAUCAGCAAUGUACCGAUAGAGCUCACCAUUACGAGCACGGUUCAUUUGGGCAGCUAUCCAGCGAAACUGGCCAUGCAGAUCAUACUGCUUUAUGAGGGCAUGCAUCUUUUCAAUCUCUGCCAUUUCUUCUCUAUCCCUGGAUUGCUUCACAUUUAUGUACCCACCAACCACAACAAGAUUCACAAGUUCUCUUAGCUGGCUGCUUCUACCAUAGCACUCAACAAGUCCUGUCAGGUUCUUCACCCUAUCAAGUCUUGCCAUGGAAAAGAUGAUGGGCUUUGAUUGGUCUGUUAAAAAACCUCUGCAUUUGCCAAGAUGAAAUAGGUAUCAAAUGUCAUCAUUGCCACCCAUAUUGCCAAUUAGCAAUUCAAAUAGCUAAGGAAAGAAUCUUAAAAUGCACAAUCUUCAUGAAAUGAUAAACUUGUAAAAAGAGUGAAAUGCAGAUCUGCAAGUGAUGAAAUAAGAGACUCAAAUUAAACAGAGCUUGCUUGCAAAUGCUUAACCAAAUGACAGUACAUUACAACAGGCAUAUCAUAUCUCAUGCCAUGACAGAGACACUUUGAGCAACAGAUUUUGCCCAUCGAUACUCAAUCUGAUGAGGCACUAUAAGAAAAUAACUCAGUGAAGGUAACAUUUUCCUCAUCCAUCAUACUGAGAUUUCAAGAACAAUUAGUGGAGGAUAAAACAUAUGGUUAAAUAUCUCAUAGAUGUGGAGCCAAGAGUUGGCUUUCCAUAUAGCCAUGGUAUUUUUUAGAACCAAAGGAAAACCAAUAAUUACUACUGAGUUAUAAUCUAGCAUAAAAGAUACUCACACAUGCUCCUCAUUCUGCUCAGGAUCAUAUAAGAGUUCUUCAAUUGAACCAUGUAAAGCAGUAAGUCUUCUUUCCCUUUCGGAGUAUGGAAAAUAUAUGCACAUAUCUGCUCCCGGAGAGACUAUAUUAAACUUGGGAUCAAAAACGUCAAUACCAUGAACAACUCGAUACAGCCCAGGAAGAGUAAAAGCAGUAUGGCUCUCAUACUGUCCAACAUUAGUCUUGCUGAGACAAAGAAACAUUUGUUUAGAAUUAAAACCAAAUAAACCAAACUGUGCAAGUAUCUUAAGUGGUUAAAACAAUGAAUAAAUAGAAUGUAUGUGGCUGAAAAAACUGAGAUUUUAUCCAGCUGGUGAAUCUUGCUCAGGAUUCAUAGUACUUUUUUUUUUCUUCCUUGAAGAAAGGACUUACCUUCCUGCAAUCUCCUGGUACGUACUAGUGAUAAUAAAAUCUGCAUUGUUCAUUGCAAUAAGAUCAGCUGUAAACUGACUUGCAAAAUGGUACUUGUCGUCAUAUUUUCUCCAGUAUAUAUCAGAAUCCGGAUACUUUAUUUUCUCCAAUGCAUGCGCAAUGUUGCACUGCAAAAAAAAUUGAAUUUAACAGAUCAAAAAAGUAUUAUGCUCUACAAUUUGGUUGCUGUACUACGAACUUUCAGAUACUAGUUUUGAUAACACAAAAAACCUGCGUAAUUCCUAGCUUAUAAGACAACAAAGAAGCAACAAGAUUUCCAUCACUAUAAUUUCCAAUAAUAAGAUCUGGAACUCCUUGUAAUUCGGCAGCAAUUUCAUUUGAUGCAUCCUGCAAAUGGCAGUCAAAUAAAGGAAACAAUCAUAUAAUAAAUCCAAAAUAAAUUCCAAUGUUAAACUUCUUUCAUAUUAAACCUGAUCCAGGCAUUCUAUCACCAACUAUACAAUGAAAUAAAAAUUCUUGAAUUAUCCAAUCUAACAUGGAUUAGAUUUUUAAUCAGGAAAAGGGUUAAACAUGCCAAGAAAUUUGAAAGCUUCCAAUGCAGAACUCUUUACUAUUGUCUCACUCACAAGUCUAGAUUCAGUAACACGUAAACUUUAUUCCACCACCAUAAUGAAGCAUCCUCAGUGAGGGAUUAAGGAUGUAGUCUCAAGCAGCCUCUAUAAUGAUUUCACUCACAAUUCUAGAUUCCCAACUAGAAUCAAUAAACAUGGCCACAAAUAAACCAGAUAAGAUUGCUCAUUGUGACACCAAAAGGCAUCCUAAUGAAGAAAGAAAGAAAAGAAAGAAAAGAAAGAAAAAUGAAAGGAAAUAAAUAAGACUUUGUUUGAAAGCUUACAUCUGCAAAGGUCUCCAAGAAUGGCCACACAUCAAACCUUGAAAUCCAUUUAUGAAGAAUACCAUUCUCAUUUCUAAAAGGCACCCGCAAAAUAUAUGUGUGUUCCGUACCGCUGAUUCUUUCAAGUCUCUGGUUGCAUGUUGUGCCUUUUGCAUUGGGUAUUAGUCGUGUGACCUUAAACACCAUUCAGGGAAGUGUAAUAUGAAUAUCAAAAUGGAAAUUCACUCAAACCAAGUGAAUGAGCAAGCAAGAUAAAAAUGGAAUAUCAGAAUUGGGCAACUGGAUCAUAAAGCAUACUUACUAUAAGGAUUUUUGGGGUAACAUCCAAUCCUUGUUUUUCUAUUCUAGAUAUCAUCUCAUUCUCUAAUGCACGCACUUGAUCAAGUAUGUAAACAACCUGUGCAGGGAUAAGAAUGGUAUAAUGCAUCAUAUAUUCACUGCAUGAACCUUUUCUACAGUUAAAACGAAUGGUUCUUUCUGCCAGAAUAUGAAUAAAUAUAGAAUGGCAGGAAACCUUUGACACUCAAGUUUGAACCACUUAAGAAUAAUCCAAUUGAUACCUGCCCACCAGUGUCUGGCAAUCCUAAGACAUUUGCUUGACCAAAGUAACCAUGUGGAGACACAAUGACGACAUUGAAAACCAUAGGAAUCAUCCCAAGAAAUGACUCUAAGGUCGAAGGAUCCGGAGCCUGAAGGAUCUCCAAGAGCAGAUGCACCAUCUCUGAUACCCGUUCUGCUGUGUCACCCCAACCUCUUUCAAAACCCAUUCCUUGUAACCUACACUUCAAAGAAUUGAAGAAAAAUCUAAGUAUUCAAUCAAAAUAGAUGGAAGGAUGCAGAAUUUUUUUGAUUUAUUAUUAUUAUUAUUAUUUGAGAAGCAAAUUUUGGGAUACUUAAAAACAAACUUAAUUUCUUACUCAAAUUCAAACUCAGAGUAUGGUGUAUCUGGUGGAAGCUUAGAGAGGUGUUCUUCUGCCCUUGCCAAAGCAGAACGUAGUUUGGGUAUGCUCUGUAUCCGAUCAUUCAGCAUCAGGGCCUACAAAAUAUAGUGGUCAAAUCAGAAUGUUUGACAUUAAGAUCUUUCCUUCAUUGCAAAAUAUUUUGAAUAAUGCAACCACAAAAGGAGAGAGGCAUGAUAUGGGAAACCUAGCAUUAUAGCAUAAUUCACAGUGAAAUCAAAGUGAAGAUCAAAGUUCUCCAGAAAUUUUAUCUCGAACUGCUAUUUAAUUAAGAAUUUGACAAAAAUAAUAAUUAAUGCAAAUGGAAAAAAAAAAAAAAAAAAAAAAAGAAUUGCUUGUUGGAAAGAGCAUUAGCAAACUCACAUGACCAUCAUGCUUAUGCUUACGCAAAAAAUCAAGCAGAGGGUCCAAACUUUCUUUGUUGCGAAACAUAAUUGAAGAUAGGUGACGGUUCAGGAAUUGAACCCCAUUUCCAAUGGAUGAUGACCGGGUUGGCCGGGGGAAUGUUGCAUUAAAUGGCUCAAAAUCAAGUUCAAGCACAUAAUUGUCAUUGCAUCUGUAAACAUUUCAAAAUCCCAGUGUUAAUAUGCGCAUUAAAAGAGUUCGAACGUAGAACAAUUUUCUGAAAGGGAAAUUUAUUAUAUUAAUUCUUACUGGCCAUCCACAAGUUCUUCUUUUAAUCGAAGGUAUUCAGCAACAGUUAAAUGAUCCACGCUGAGUUCAUAGACAUUAACGCGAACAUAUUCCCAAACACCAGGAAUUGGACGAAUUGCUAUUGCAACAAAUGGAGGUAGGACAAUAGCUUCCUACAACGUUAGGACGACAUUAAGAAAAUUAUAAAGAGAAGAAAACAAAUAAUUCUCAUCUUUCAUGUAAUACAUGAACAUUUUUUUUCUUUUUUUUUCUUUUUUUUUUUUUUUUUUUUUUUUUUUUUUUUUUUUUUUUUUUUUUGUAAAAUAAAGUUAGAGUAGAUUUGCAGAAUAUCCAAAUUCCAGAAUCGCAAUUAAGUAAAUGUAGAACGCUUAAGCCAAAAAUAAAAUAAUAACAAUAAGCCAAAAAUAAAUAGUACAUACCACUUUAAUGACAAAAGCAAGAAAAAAUAAAAGAUAAUUUAACGUGAAUCACACCUAACUAGUACUAAACUCAUGCAUUAGGAAACAAAAACCACGAAGAUAAAUGAGAGUCUACCUGUGCAGAUUCAAGCAUUUUAGUGAAGGGGCUAUCGCGAAGCUUCUCCAAUCCUUCGUCAUCUUUAACGACUCUGGCAAGCUCUAUUAGCAGCUGAUGAGCUUGCAGAAUUCCUUUCCCUUGAGCCACAUACCUUGCAAAAUCAACAAAAACCCAUUUUCCAAAUCAGCUAUCAUACUCUUAGCCUAACUAACAGAAUACACAUAGACAUGCAUAUCUCAACAACAUUUACAUGUACGAACCUGGAAAGAAGAGAAACAAGCUCGACACGGUAAGUAGAGAGAAUGUCCCGCACCCUUUCUCGUAUGCUAGAGAGCGGCAUCGCUCCGAAUCCUCAAAAUCACGUUUUCUCUUCAGACGAGCAAAAUCGGACAAACAGCGAGAAACUAAAAGCAAUCAGUAGGAGGAUAAAUGGAUAGGAGAGACAUUUGAUGAUGAAGUGAAUACCAUAUAUAUAGCCAUAUAUAGAGCAAAUAGCGAAAUCGACAAGGUGCAGAUGGAGCCAAAAACACCAAUAGAGAAACUGCCAUAGCUUUUUCACUUUGUUUGCUGCGACUCGAGUCUGAUUGUGAGAAGGGGCACUUGGCAUUGCAUUUCAGGGAGCAAAUUGAAAAUGUACAACACAACACUUUCCCUCUCUUUCCGAACGUGAAACGGUGGGCUCUGUGCUUAUGUUUGUUUCAUUUUGCUCAUAGACUGUCACGCCCAUUUGAGGUUUGAAAGCGUGUAGUUUACGCCCCAUGGAGAGUGUAGAUGAUGCCGAUCAGCCCAGAAUUCAGCCAAUGAAAUGUUGAAAUGACAGUUUGUCAGCGGUUGAAGACGGUGCAUUGUAGGCAGUUUUUUCUUGGGCCCAAACAGGUCAAGAACCGAAUGACUGGCCCAAAACAGUUGGGUUUGGACUAUUUUUAUGGGCUUGUUUCCUCUGAAGAUUUGACCCAACUCCCAACAAGGCUAUGUCACGUUGAUUACGUCAUAUAGCGAGGUUAAUAGAACCUUACCUGAAGAGGCGAUAUUAUUAUUAGCUAGCAAUAUUACUAAGAAAAUAAUAAUGAAGAGCAAGAACCAGAUACCAAGGGAAAAUGAUUCUAUUUAUACUCAAUUCGUACACGUACUGAAAUUGAAAUUGGAAAUAAGUUGCUUAUUGGAAUCAAUUCUCAGUGAUCUAACGACACUUUUUUUUUAGAGGAUCCUAAUGGCACUUUUGAGCAAGAUAUAUAUGUGAAUAGCAAAAGGAUAGGAACUUCACAAUAAUAUAUAAUUUGCUGAAAAUUUAAUUAAUGGAAUAAUUUUUUAUCCAAAAAAUUGAUAGAAUAAAUGUAUAUCGUAUAUUAUCAGUAUAACUUUUCACUACGUGGCUCGUCAAAAGGUUUUAAGAAUGUACUCUUAUUCAAAAUCUUUAAUUUAAAAAUAAAAAUUUUUAUUUUCAAAAAUUGAUUUUUGAAUAAAUUAUAUAUUACUUUAUUUAAAAAAGAACAAAUUGAGUUUUAUUCCAUCGAAUAUAUAUAUCCGGUGAUUCAGACGGGAAGAAAUCAAAAAGAUAUCCAGGUUCUACAUUUUUCCGUUUUUUUUUUUUUUCGAAAGGAAGGUUCAACAUUUUUCAUUACUACAUUGUUUUGCUGCCUAUAUAAAGUGGGUUGGUUAAUUAUUAACUAUCAAAGCAAAACUAACUAAACAAAAACCACCUGAAAUUCUCUCUCUCUCCAAAAAAAAAAAAAAAAAAAAAAAUCUCUCUCUCUCAAAAAAAAAAAAAAAAAAACGUAUAGCUAUUAUUGGUUCGAAUGGCAAGCAAUAUAGAUGAUCGUCUUCUUAAUGCUGCGUUUGAAGGCUUUUCUAGCUUGGAAGGGCGCCGGAACAAGAGGCCAAAUCCAGCUGCAGGGAGACCUCAGACUCAGAGUGCUACCAACAACCAUCAUCAGCUUCCGGCAAUCACUAGCAAAGAGGCAGCACAACGCUACGGUGGGAUAGUGAUAGAACCAGUUAUCACUAGCGACAAGGCCGCCAAACGCUACGGCGGCAUAGUUAUAGGGCCCGCUGUCACUAGCGAUAUGGCAGUUCAACGUUAUGGCGGUGUUCUUAUUACAGAUCGUCCAACGGAAAAACAUUAACGGGGCUUAGCUUAAGAUUAUCGAAUUAAAAAGGGCUUGUGUAAUUAAAAAAGGCUUUGUGACGAUGUACUGCUACUGCUAAAUAUGUAUCUUUUGUAUCUCCUGGCACUGGUUGUCUCUUCCAAAUAUAAUAACAAUAAUCUUUCUUCCUUCUUGUUUCCAGAUCAUAUAUAUAUAUAUAUAUAUAUAUGCAUAUGAGAGAUAUUUUAGUCAUUAUCUCUUGCCUCUUAAUUAAAAUUAAUUUAAGGUUAAUUACAGUAAUUCAUCUGCUAUUCAGAUCUUGGAUCGAGACUUUUAAUCACGCUUUCUUCUUCUUUAUUAUUAUUAUUUUUUAAAUUUAAUUGAGCCUAAUACAAUUACUUCUACAGUUCAAUUAUAUAUAUAUAUAUCAUUCAACAAAUUGGUUGGACAUUCUAUUAUUUACAUUUUACUCGCAAUUUCAAAAUAAAACCAAACCUAGCCGGUGAAAGACAUGAUGAAUGUUUGAUGAGUUACUAUACCCUCCAAACUCUUUGCACUAUACGCAUCAAUGAAACAUAAACAAAUUAAAUUAAUUAAAAUCUCGUGCAAUCAAUAAAGAAGAAAUACGAGUAGGAUUGUAAAUGAGACAAACUGCUCGUGAGCUGUUCGAGGCUCAAUUCAUAAAAAUUCGAUUGGGCUUGGCUCGAUAAAACUCGUUCGAUAAGCUUAUCGAGCCGAACUAUUGAGCUCGUUUAAUAAACAAGCUGAGUUCAAGCUCGGCUCAUUAGCUCGCGAGCUAGCUUUAUCGAGCUGAACCCACUUUAAAUUUGGCUAUUUUAAAUGAUCUAAGCUCAACUUAGCAUCCUAACACUAUUAUCAGAUAUACAUGGUUUUCAAAGUUGUGGUGAUUUUGAUGGAAUCCAUAUCAAAAAGUGCCCCUGAGAAUCCAUUUCAGAUGGAUAAAUUCAGUUGUCCACUGAUUGAUUAAUUGUGACUGAAAUGGAAAAACCAAAAGAAGAAAAAAAAAAAAGGUUAAUGAGGAAUCAUAUCAUUCUACACGAAAAGAAGUAGGAUUGGAAACAAGUUGGUGCGAUCAAUAAAAUAUUGAACUUUUUACUUCAUAUAACUUGGAAAGAGUCCUUCAGUGCCAUAAAAGUUAAUUUCAUAAUUUGGAAUCAUAUCUUCUUUUUCGUGAUAUUUUAUUUUUAAUAUAGCUUCAUGGAUAAAUAUAUUCCAUAUAUACAUAUCUUUUUCUUUUGCAAUAAGAUUGGGACAAACGUGCUAAGGUGACCCAAAUCUCAGACCAUCUCACAUGUAGGAGCACUGCUUGUGUCCCAUCGAUGCUUAGCUUAUAUUUAUCUUAUUCCUUUUACCUUAAUUAUACUUCUUUCUCCUUAAUUAUACCUUCGUGGUAAUUAACGAUUUUAUCCUGCCACUUCAACACCUCUCAUGGGCAUAAUUGUCAGUAUCUGUUUACACAACUUAGAAAAUCAACCAGAUCAUAUUGAUUAUGCUAUGUAUACAUACAAACGUCAUAUUUCUUGCAUCACAGUCUUACAUCGGGUCAAAAAGACAUAUCAACUAGGAUUGGAAGGAAUAUAUAAAUCAGUAUUCAACGAACAAUGACUGACAUUUGCCAAGUUAGUGAGGAAUCAGAUGCACAGAAGACUGAUGAGGAACUAUUCCUUCUGAACGCGAAAUGAAUUUGGAUAAAGAACAAGGUACUGAGAAUUAUGGAGCCUAUCCCUUAAUAAUUGAGGGAGUAGACUUGGCUAGAGCUCUAUAUAAAGAGACCAGGUCCCGAACAUUGAUAACCAAGCCAAGUAAUUAAGCAACGAUUUGUUCUUAUACAGGCAUUACUUUGAUAUGGCACGUCAGAAUGAGCGUGGUAAUCUUGCUAAAAUCGGGUUGGAAGCAUUUUCCGCCGUGGAUGAAUACUUGGCCAGGUCCAAGAGGCUAGGCACGAGGCAUCCUCAUCAGAUAAACCCAUUGAUACCUGUUAUCGACAGCAAUGAGGCAGCAAAACGAUAUGGGGGUAAAGUUUUUAUGGAUUAUCCCAAGGCCAUGGGAAAAAACCAAUCUGCUGAUGAGAUUGGAAGGCUUAAAAUCGUAAGAAACCAUUAAUUUGAAAAUUUAAUCAAUCUUACCAGGUUGUUGUAUAUUUGUACGUACUAAUAUGCUGGAAUAAGCAAGUCAGAUAUAAAAAGAGCAAGUUCUGAUACGUGUUUAGGUUUUUGCUGCAGCUAUGAAGAGCAUGCGCUAGUUAACUGUGUAAUAUAUGAAGGAGUAUUGACAACCGGUGACUUGUAUUUGUACUCCUGUUGUGUAUAUAAAGAAAAGAACUCUCAAGCUAGUUUCAUCUAAUCAAAGAAUUUUCUCUAUAUCUCUUUCCUGUAUCUAUAUUUGGCCAUGGUUAAUUUUGCUCAUGACAGGUUUAUACCCACAGGUUCUUUUGGGAAAAUUAUCAUAGAACAAUUUUUUUCUGUUUUCCUUUGUUGAAAGAUAGAAAUUAUUAUUAAGAAUGAAGAUCAUGAACAAUAAGAGCUUCUAUAUGUCUAGGAAGCUCAUACCAAACUUGACGACUAGGAUCUGAAUAAGCAACCCUUCGUAUCCAAGUAACAGAAAUACUAUUACUCCAAGAAGCUAAAUCAACCCGAUCUGAAACAACAUCCCCCAUUCAGAUAGGUCAGUGACAGGACUUGUGAAAAGACUUCCAAACGUCCUGUGCAUCUAUUUCAAUACAUAUAUUUGUAAAGUUGCGUUGCUUCAGCAAUGAAAGGACCUCACGCAAUCCAAGAGCCUCAACCAUUCUUGAUUUAUGAGCACCUAUAAAGUAACCCGACAAAGCCAUCACAAAUUGUCGCUGAAAAUUCCGAAUCAUAGCACCAAAACCAGACAUGUUAAUAUCUUUGAAAACGGCACCAUCAAUAUUACAUUUAAAGACCCAGUCGGAGGACAGCUCCAACGUGAAAUUUCCCUAGGAACAGCAAGCCGUAGAGGUUGGGUACCUGUUACCCUCGACCCAUCAUCCUCAUCAGACCUGGCGCAUUUCCAUUCAUGAAGGUACUUAAGGGCUUGAGACACCAAAUCUGAAGAAGAAACUCGCAUACUUUGCCAUAUAGAUAAGUUGCGAUAGAACUACAUAAACCAGGCCAACACUCAACACUUUUUUUUUCUGUUUUCUUUAUGUACCUUAAUUUAAAAAAAAGUGUAUGUAUUCCAAUUUUUACAAAAAACUUUAUCUUUUUCUAAUCAGUAAAACAUGUUAACUAGAUUUUAAUAAAAUUAUUUUAAUUUUAUGAAAUUAACUAUAUAUCAUUUUAUAAUUCAAAAUAAGAAUAUUGUUAAGAACAAACGUAUAAUGACACCACCAAGUAUGAUAACGUAAAUUUUUAUGGUUUUGACGAAGAGUAUAGUUACUCUUUAUCACAUAUGUGUUCAAUAGGGGGAAAAAAAAAAAUCAAUAGCGAAACAGGAAUACACAAAAAAAAAAAAAGAAAAAAGAUUUUGUUCCUAGGAAAUUUAUUUACAAAUUAAAUGGAGAGAUAUAGGCUAUCUGGCCAACUCAGCAUCUCCAUCUCCGACAGAUAAACAAGAAUCCUUUUGCUUCCAAAACCGAUUGAUUAUAAGAAUACGACUGAUCACAUUGAAGUGCUACAAAUGCCUAAUCCAACGCAUCUCAUGCAUUAUUUAUGCAGAAAAUCCUAAUUUUCGGACAGAUAGUGAUGAUAACUUCUAUCCCUAAGAAAAGAAUUAAAUCCUGCUUUUGCAAGUAGUUAGACGCUCUGCCUCGUGUAUGUUACAGGUUUUUUUCGACUUUUUUUUUUGUCUUUGUAUUGUUGUGGGCAGGUACAAAUGUUGGAGGAAUCUUUUAAAGAUGACAACCCUUUUUUUAUAAGAUGGAAAAUUCUCUUAAAAAAAAUAUCUAGGUAUACGAUAUGGAUUUUGAAUAGACCAGUCACCAGUGGAUUAUUCGUCGAAAGGCAGAAUUUACUGAUAAAAACCAUUAAGGUGGAAUUGAAUCGAACAGAUUAAUUUAAAUCAAUUUGAUUUUAUAUUAAUAGAUUGAAUUUCGGUCUCCAAAGAAAAAAUUAGAAAAAAAUUUCGCUUUAAUUUAAUUUUUAAAAAUUUUAAAAAACUAUAGAAAAAUCAAAAAAUGAACCAAAGUAAUUCAAUUCCUUUUAAAAAUUUUGAUUUAUUCAAUUUGAAUCGAAUCCAUGAAAACCCUAGGUGGCAUAAGCUGCAACCUCAUUCACAACAUGGAUAAGACUUGCAAGUGGGACCAAAAAGUGGGAAGCUAAGCCACAAUGAUCCCUGUAUAUAUAAAUGAAGCCCUGCCUCGUCCCCUUCAAAGCAAAGCAAACAGACACCAUUCAAACUAGGGCAAGAAGCUAUCCAAAGAUAUAUAGUUUUAGUAGAAUCAAUUAGAUUUAUGGCACCUCAAUUAGAUCGUCUAGUCAAGAUCGGAGAUGAAGGGUUCGCUCUAAUAGAGGAAUGUUAUGGUCGGAACAACCCGACUGGAAGAUCAGGCAGUGGCAGGGCUCUAUCAAGUCAAGGGCAUGAAUAUCAUCAUCAUCGUCAACAGCCUCUUGUUUAUCAUGGACCUCAAAUUUCAACAGUAAGAAUGCCAGUAGCCGUAAGCAACGAGAUAGCUCAACACUACGGCGGAGGCAGCACCGGAAAAAAGCCAGUGAUGAUCACUAGUGACCAGGCAGCUGAAUAUUAUGGUGGGUUGGCGAUCAUGGAAUAUGGUUUGAGAAAUCGUUCUGGCCGCACCUAAAUUAGUACUACGUACUGAUCCAAGCUGCAAGUUUUCUCAAUUAGUAGUGUUUUUUGUAAGUUACUAAUUACAGAUGCGUGUGGUUUUGUAUGUAAUUACGUACGUAUUAACUAUUAAGUAAACAUAAGCCUCUUGUACUUCGGAAUUGCAGAGAACAGUCAGUACGUAUUAUCAGGCUGUAGAGAAUCACCAUGUAGCUAAAAUCAUCCUCUGUGUUGUUAUAAAAAAAGUAUACGGAGGGUUUGUAAAUUGUAGCUCUUUUCUUGUUACUUGAUAACAUAGUUUAUCUUAUCUGUUACUUAGAAUUUCUGAUUUACAUGCUUUUAUUUCUCUCAUUUCAUUUGACUGUUCGAUUAAUUUUUUAGCUUCUUAAAGUCAGUAACAGAGCAAUAGUAAUUCUCCUGUUUCCCUUAUAAUUGCAGAGAAAAAGUUCAUCUGCGAUUGUGAUGACGACGGAUUCUCUUGCAUUAUAAGAGAAUCUUAAUACAGGACUUGUCAUUCUCAUUUUUCCGCAUCUUAACUUUCAUAUGUUUAAGAUGUUAGAAUCUUCAUGAAUGCCAAGUUGCAAACAAUUAUUAAUGGCUCCACUAUAUAUAUGACUAUCCAAUAGCAGAAGAGCAACCCAAGAACAAAAAUAUGCAUUCCCUAAAUGCAUGCAAGUUAACCUUCUCUUCAUAUGAAACUUAAUUCAGGUGAAAACACAAGCAAGAACUGAAAUCAAGAAGCUUCUAAAAUGAAUUUGAUAUUCUUGAUAUUUUCAGAGGAUGGCAUGAUUAAUUAAUUAACUAGUUACUUUGGCUUGGCAAUAGUAUUCAAAAAGCAUAUAUGCAGAUUAGGUUUCAAUUAAUAAUCCAAUAUAUUAGGCCAGAUUUAAAGAAACAGUAUCACCUAUUGGUAACAGAUUCCAGUUAGAGAAAAAGUGGACUCAGCCCCAUCCUUUUUAUCAUCUUCAUUGUUUUAAAAUUUUUAAGCUGAAGAAUUAGCAAGAUACAACGAUAAGUUUCUGCGAGCAAAAAUAGAUUUGGACAGACCAAAUCUAUUGAUACCGCCUUUUUCUUUUUGGAAUAUCAUAUAUUAUAAAGUAGGAAAGUGUUGCCCAGAUUUAAAUUUCUUUCUGGAAAGCAAUAAGAUAGAUAUAUAUAUAUAUAUAUAUAUAUAUAUAUAUACAGUAUUUCUCCAAUGGCAAUCAUAUGUGCUUUGAUGCUUCCAUGGAAAAUAAAAAACAACGAAAAAGAAAAUAAAAUGAUUCUUUAAAUGCAUUUCUAUUCUAUGGCUUUGAUCUUUCCUAAAUCACCAACUUUUGUCGGCUUUUGUUUGGGAUUUCUUGGAAUAAAUAUGUCUAACCCCACAAGCGGACUAGAAUAAUUUCUGUGUCUGUGAAGCCACAAAAUUACGCAUAUUGUCUAUUUUUUUCCUUCCAACGGGACAAAUUUAAAGAAUCAGAUGAGAAAAAAGAAAUGUGCUAAAAUUAAAAAGAAUCUGUUUUGAAGAGAUUUAGAUCAAGAUUUCACUCUUAACCCUAAUAAUUAUGAAAAUAGAUGUUCACAUAUCGGACAUUUUUUAGUUAAUUUGGCUUCAAUCAAACUCAAUCGUUAGUCAAAAUUCAAUGGUAAAAUUGACUGAUAAUCUUAUAUAAUAUAUUAUAUACUAAGCAUUAAAAUUUUUUAUUCAAUUCAAAUUAUUCAAAUAUAAAAAUACCAUGAAAAUCAAAUACUUCAAAACAGCAUGAUUUAGUGGUAAGUCUCUAUAAUAAAUCCAAUUUCAAUCCCCAUUUUUAAAUACUCAAAAAAAAAAAAAAAAAAAAAAAAACCCUCAAAACAGAUUACGAAUCUUUGUCGUUUGACUGAAGUUUGGAAAUUACCUAACUCUCUUUGGACCAAAAAUGCCAAUUCAUUAGGACCGGAGGAAGAAAGUUCCAAUAAAAGAACAUUCAACUCAAUAAUAGAAGAACAAAAGGACAUAUUCUUUGCUGCCAUUUGAUAUGGUAGUUACAUGUUCGCAACAUAAAUUCACAUUGCAUUUACAAAAACUUUACCAAGUUAAAGGGAAAUUUACUUUUCUAGUAACUUGCAAUUUGCAAAUCACGAGGGAAAGUAAUACCUACUGUAUUACAUUUGAAUGGAAUAACAGAAGAAGGAAGGAAACGAGUGGAAUCAACGAAAGGCCCAUUGAGGUUUCCUCUACAUAUAUGCAUAUACUAUAUAACGGGGUAUUCAUUAGCAUAAAUCAAACAGCUUAAUUAAGACAAAGCUUAGCCUACUUGCAUACAUAUAUACAAAAAGAUAAUAAGUAGAUUGAUAUUAAUCUGUAGUGCGUUAUUUAAGGGCAUGGCACGUCAAGCAGAUCGUCUUUAUAAAGUCGGGUUGGAAGGCUUUUCACUCAUUGAUGAGUGGUAUGGCAGGCCUAAGAGGGUAGUUUCUUGGCAACAUCCAGAACAGAAGCCAAGGUCUUCUUCUAAUGAAUAUGAUAAUCAUGUAAUGCAAUUUCCCAGGUCAAAAAUGGAGACUACUGCCUUCACCAGUGAGGAGGCAGCUCAAUUCUAUGGUGGAGUUGUCAUCAAAGAUUAUCGCAAGAAAAAACAACUCUUCUCAGCUUAAUUAGUUAGCACCUACAACCUAAACCUAGCUAUUAUAUAACACAAUGGUCUGGUUCUAGCUUCUUUUCAUGUUUGUCUCGUCUUUGUUGUAAUUAUUAAGUCUCUCUCUGGCUCACUCUACUUCUUAUGUAAUUGGUAUGAUGCUCUAUUAAUGAUACUAAUUAUGAUGAACUCAAGAAAUUUAUGUUUAAUCUAUUUAGUGUUCAAUGAAUGUAUUAGGAUUUGAGAGAAGAAUAGCUAGUGCUUAAGUACGUUUUUUCACUUAUGGUUCCUCUAUUUAUAGGAGCAGAGGGUGAUAUUUUUUUUUUUUUCUUUUGAAACUAGCAGAGGGUGAUAGCUAGAGAUAAGAUAGUAGAGAGAUUUUCUCCACUAUCUUUCAGUUACUAACGUAUUUGGGGGGAUAUUGGGUUUUUUUGUGGAUUUUAUUAAGGAUUAUAUAUCAAUUGAAAGAACUCGUAGCAAAAUAUUUUGUAUAUAUUAAUUGAAAAAUAGAAAAUUAUUGUAGAAACAAUCAAGAAGUUAGAGGAGAAAUCAACAUCCAGAAUGCAUGUUCAUUCAGAUUGAACCAGAAAAAUUCUCCUCUAAACCAGUGGAGUGUGGAGAAAUUUUUCUUGUAAUUGUUUAGUGCAGCACUGGUGUUAAACUGGUGGCCUAAACACACAGCCAAAAACGGAGAAGUAGCAGCCUGUUUUUUUAUUAAAAAAAAGAGAGAAAGAAAGACACAGAUCUUUGCUCCUAAAUGUUAGGAAAGUAAAUACUAAAAAUAGCAUGUAUUCAAGCGAAGACAAAGCUAACCAAAUAUAUCAAUGGAGUUAAAAUGAACCCUAUAGAUAGCAUUUUAUCCUGAUCCACUCUUUGGCUAAAACUAUGGUAUAAAGAAAAGAGGCAUGGAAAGAGAACUCGUGUCACAAUCACGUUGAUCAAGCCUCCGUAUUGGGGCUUUCAAUUUUUUGUUUUUUAUAAAUUUCGCUGGAAUUAAUAAGAAAUAAACGGAUUGCCAGAUUGAUUGAAUUGAAGAAGAAUGGCAAUGGCCACAACAAAGAAUUCCUUGGCAAAAGCCAUUCUUCUCUUAUUCUUAGCAGCUGCCUCUUCUGAGGCAAAGCAUCUGGGCCACGCCAUUAGACCAUUUGCUCACAUUGGUGAGAAAAGAGAUCCCUUUGAGAAAAUCUUUAAUGUGCUACAUUUUGGUGCCAAAUGUAAUCCAAGAACAGAUAAUGCAUUGGUAAUAUAUGUCUCUAGUAACUCCUAUUCUCUAAUUGGAACUUACACAUGAACUGACUAAUUAUGCGAGUCCGUUUCGUGUUUGCAGAAUUUCAUAAAGGCAUGGAGGGCUGCAUGCGAUUGGAGGGGAAAAGCAAGACUACUUAUCCCAGCAGGGGAGUUCUUAGCCUCAGAAAUGGUAUUUGCUGGACCAUGUAAAAAUACAGCUCCCACUAUUGUUCAAAUUGUAGGGACUAUAAAAGCAGUAUCAGAUAUGAGUAGCUAUUCAGAAGAUUCCUGGAUGUUAUUCCAAAAUAUAAAUGGCUUGAUCAUUAAUGGAGGCAUUGUUGACGGCCAAGGCCCUAAUGUAUGGAAAUAUCACGAUGGUGGAGGCAGUGUUUUCCCAGCAGUAAGCAAAAUUAUUAAACUCUACUUCACAAAUUUCCCAUGUUAUCAGAAAAUGGUUGAAAUUAAUUCAAGAUAUUGACUUUUUUUUUUCUUUUUUUCUUCUUCAGUCGAUCAAAUUUUUUCGCGUAACAAAUGGAGUUAUAAGAAUGCUGCAUUCUGUUAACCCAAUGGGUUUCCACAUAGGAAUUGUUCUAUGUGAGAAUAUCAGAGUCACAAAUAUCCGUUUAGAUGCUCCUGACGAUAGCCCCAAUACAGAUGGAAUCCAUCUCAGCCAAACCCAUCUAGUAAAAAUAACAAGAAGUGUUAUUGCUACCGGAGAUGAUUGCGUUGGUAUGAUUCAUGGAUGCACUGAUAUCACCAUCAAGAAACUAACUUGUGGCCCUGGACAUGGCAUUAGGUAAUAUGGAACUCUCUAUCCACCAUUAAUGUUGCAAUAAAACCUGCAAUGCACUUACAUUUUAAGAGAUGCUCAUUGUUUCUUAUUAUUUCUUCCUCCACAACAGUAUUGGUAGUCUUGGAAAGUAUCCUGAUGAGAAGGAAGUGAAAGGUAUUACAGUGACAAACUGCACAUUGAAGAACACUGAUAAUGGAUUAAGAAUCAAAACAUGGGCAGGAUCACCUCCAAGCUGUGCUUCAGGCAUGACAUUCCAGGACAUCAUUAUGAAAAGCGUUAAGAACCCUAUCAUUAUUGAUCAAAGCUACGGAUCAGAGUCAAAUGAGGUAAAUCCUACGUCCUUUGUCCUUUCAAAUUGAAAGAAAUUCAAAAGAAAGACAGUAACAUAAUUCUGUGUGUUUGUAUAUUUGCAGCCAUCGAAGGUAAAGAUCAGUGAUGUUAAAUUCUUGAACGUUAGGGGAACCACAGUAUCAGAAGUUGGAGUAAAACUUGAGUGCAGCAAGAAGUGUCCUUGUGAAGGAGUUCAAUUGUCAAAUAUCGAUUUGCAUUAUGUUGGUGAUAAAAAGAAGCCGAUAUCCUCUGUAUGCCAGAAUGCAAAAAUCAAAUAUGCUGGUCGCCAAUUACCACCACCUUGCAAUUAAGUGCUUAAAUUUGCAAUUGCAACCUGUCUUGUCCAGCUUAAGCAUCAUCUUGUAUCACUACGCUAGAAUUGAGGCAAUGGAGCUUUCUCGAUCUAAUGGAAAAAUAUAUAUAUAUAUAUUAAUUGUUCUCUGAGUACAUAGUUGUGCAGAAUUGGUUGAAUAGGGCUAGCGAGUUUUUAGUUUUCACAUCAUUAGGUCGUGCUUUAGUGCACAAACACAGAACUUCAAACGCAAGAGGGAAUUGCAAUUUUCCAAGUCUAUGUAUAUAGCAUCUUUUCUUGCUUAAUUUCUAGCGGUUUAUCAAGAUUUGAUUAAAGAAUUGUCGAUCAUAAAUUAAUUAAUUAGUUGGUAAAUAAAAAAAAUUAAGGUUAUAUUUAGUAAACCGUAAUGAAAUAUAAUGUAAUGUAUCAAAAACAUUUUUAAACAAAAAAUGUCUUUUGAUUUCAUUAUCUUAAGUUACAUAUGGUUUUACCAAAUAUAGUCUAAAAACAAUUAACAAUACUAUCAGUAACAAACUUAAGAAAAAUUAAAAAUACUUUCAUCCCUCUUUUGAAGACAUGAGAACGUUUCAUAUAUAUAUAUAUAUAUAUAUAUAUAUAUAUAUAUAUAUUUGGUAAUGUAGUCCUUUGAAAAUACAUGGACCAAUUGUUGUAUGAGUUUUAGAAGAAGCAAGCACUGAACACUAAUAUUUAAAACGACACCGUUCGUCCGUAAUUCCGGUACCCUCGAUUAUUUAAAUACAGAAAAAAUAAGAAAGCGCCGUCGUUUAUUUACCCUUCAUAAUAGCAAAAGCAAAUCAAUUUCACCGAUUGGAAAGCCAGAGCUAGAGAGUGUGUAAACAAUGGCGUAUGUCGCUGCACGUCGCAAUUUAACUUCGUUCCUUACCCGAACUCUCGCUUCUUCUUCUUCAUCGUCUUCACUUUCUUCUCGUUCUCGAUUCGUUUUUUCUCUCCUCGACAAAAACCCAUCGAACCAAUUCGUCCCGGACUCUGUGAAAAUCCCUACCCGUUUCAAAACUUCUGGGUCAGGUUACUCGCCACUGAAUGAUCCGUCACCCAACUGGAGUAACCGACCACCAAAGGAAACGAUACUCUUGGAUGGCUGUGACUAUGAGCACUGGCUUAUCGUCAUGGAGUUCCCAACUGACCCAAAACCAACCGAAGAGGAGAUGAUCAACGCAUACGUCAAAACCCUUGCAACCGUCGUGGGCAGGUGCUGAGUUUUUCUUUUCUUUUAUUUUUUCUUGAGCUCAUUUUUGAUUUGGGUUUACUCUAUAAUUUCUGUAUCUGGGCUUUGACUUCUGAUUUUUGUUUUUGGCUAUUGUUUGGGUGGACUUUAGUGAGGAUGAGGCAAAGAAGAAAAUUUAUUCGGUUUCCACAUCGACCUAUACUGGGUUUGGUGCUUUGAUUUCGGAGGAACUCUCACACAAAGUAAAAGGUAUUUCAUUUUCUUUGUCGGACUUAUCUUUAAUACAUUGAUAGGGUUUAGGGUUUAAAAGUUUUUUUUUUUUUUUGUUUUUUGAGGUUUUGAGGGACCGAUGGAAGUAAUUAGCCUUCUUAACCUUUUAGUAUGAUUUGUAAUAGGUACCGUACUGAUUAUGAAUGCCAUUUUAUUCUGUUUAUUUCAAAUUUUGGAUUGUUGAUUAAAUCAACCUGGCUUCUUGUUGUGACUUCUGCUUAUACUUGAAGUUUGGCAGUUCUGGUGUGAUGUUUGUAUAUUAGACUGUUUUAUGCUUCUAUUUGUCUGGAUGGAUAGGGUUGCCUGGUGUUCUCUGGGUUUUGCCAGAUUCAUAUCUUGAUGUUCCCAACAAGGACUAUGGAGGUGGGUAUUCCGAAGAUGUAAACUUUAAUUACUAAAUUAUACACUUUAUGUUUGGGUGUUUCCAUUUUAAAUUCAUCUCCUUUUGGUUUGAAUCAGGGGAUUUGUUUGUUGAUGGCAAGGUCAUCCAUAGGCCUCAAUACCGGUAUGAUAGAUCAAACAGUCAAAACAGGCCUCGUGCCAGGUAUGAUAGACGACGUGAAACGAUGCAGGUUGAGAGGAGAGCGCCGGUACAAAGACAGAGCUGGGAACAGUCUGCGCAACAACCACCUUCAACACAGUCUCAGAAUUGAAUAGGUAUUUUAGAAAUUUAGAUGAGAAUAUCUAAGCAAGAAUUAAAGCAUUUUGUAUUUCUCUUGGAUACUGGCUUGGUUUUUGGUCAUAGUAUACUAGUUUUCUGGUGUCUUUGUGGAGAGUGAAAUGUGAAUCUUCUCUUCUAGGCUGUUUUGGGAACAUUCUACAUAUUGUCCUUGGAGAAUUCUUUCACGAGUACUGUUAUGCAUUGACAAUCGUUAAUCUCUGUUCAGUAAAUUAUGAUUGCAAAAAGGAAACUGGACUGUAAUCUUUUUUCUCCAAAAUUAUGUGUUCCUUUUUCUGUUGAGUUCCAUUGUUGGAUUGGAAAGCAUGUUCCAUAAGAGAGCAAUAUGUGUCAUACAAGUGAUUUAUUUUCUUUUCUCUGAUCUAUUCAUGUUGUUAUCCAAGCUAGUUACAUUUUCAUCCUUUUCUAUUUGAUCUUCAUGGACCUAGAUUCAGACCCUUAUCGUAAUUAUAUAUACGCCUUAUGAUGCACGUUAACUUCUAGUCAUGGGUGUUUCUGAAUUUCGGAAAUGUUUCUCUGUAUCCAUUUCUCUAUAUAAAAUAUUAUUUAUAGAUAUUAUUUCCCUAUGUUUCUUCGAUUCCGUUUCCACGUAACAUUGUAUAUACCUGAUCUGAAAACAUAUGUUUACUUUCUGUUCAGUAAUAACUGCAAUUCUUACAUAAGACUUUGUUCUAUUGGAUCAAUAAAAACAUUCAAUUCAAUGUUAUUUGGUUGAUUUUCUUCCUGAUGGAAAUGAUUAUAUUAUUUUACUUAAUUAAUGACACGGUGGAGGGUUCAAUUUGUGGUAUUCGGAUUCAAAAUUUCAUGCAUCCACUUAUUAUUACGAAGGGAAAAAAUUAUGGCAUCCGGUUUAUAAUUUCAUUGACACAUUUAAAAAAAAAAUCCCAGGUAAGUAUUUCAGAGCAUAAACUGUAAUUUUAUUAACAUGCUUAAAAUUGUAUUGAAGUUCAGAUUUGCAAUUGGCAUUAUCUUAAUUAGAAAAAUUCAAGCUGAGAUGGAGAGUUUAACGAGAUUAAUUAUCAUUCUUAUGCUGGUUUUAAUUACUUUCCAAAAAUAACCUUAAUGAAGGGACAAAAUUUACCCUUCCGAAUUCCUACCAAACAUAAAUAACGGCAGCAGGAUUCAGAAUCCGACGCGCCUCACCACCUGUCCUAAAUUUGCAACUCCAAACAAAACACAAAUUUGCACAUAAAAUAAACCAUAGCAUCGUUUUUCCGGCCCUCUUCAUCGGACACCGAUCACCCUCCGGCCAAAAAAUUGCUGCUUUUACGUUAUCGAUACUACUCACAUCUUCUUUCUCUGAUCUAUUUGAUCUUUAAUUUCUUCAUCUCAAAUUAGCAGGUACGUUUUCAGCUGUAACAGAUUUAAUUUUCUUUCUCUCAGAUCCCAACAGAUUUUGUUCUGUUUUGAUUGAAUCUUUAAAAAAGGAAAGCAAAAAUGAACUCUAACUACGGGAAAGGAUCAUCUAGCUCGUUGAACAACUUCAAUUUCGAUUUCGGACUAGGUUCGAGCCGACCCAAAUCCCUUAAUGAUCAAAAGAAUCCAACUUCUUCAUAUUCAUCGUAUUCAUCCUCAACAACAACGCAGCCUAAACCCGCCUGGCAACCUAAUAAACCUUCCUGGACUCACCAGCCCGCGCCGAGUCAGCCUACUUGGUCCGGGCUAAAUGGGCCCCCUUCUAUGGUGGGUGAUAUAUCUGGGAAGAGCUGGAAUUCAUCAAGUUCAGCUUCUGGGAUUGGGAUCGUAGAGAAGAACCCAAAUUUGUUUGGGGAUCUGGUCACCUCUGCUUUGGGGCAGGGAAACAAGGGUAAUAGCAAUGCUCCUUUGAAAACUGCUACACCCACAUCGAAUAAAACUGCCUAUUCGAUGGGCAAUCUUGCUGAUUCAUUGCCAAAAACAAAUAAUUCAGCGAAAAGUGGAGGAACUUGGGGAUCUAAUGGUAAUUUUGGGAGUUAUUCUAGUGAGUACAAUAAAACCAGCAGCAAUGUUAAUGCUGCUGGUAAUGGCAAUGUCAAUGUUAGUAGUAAUAUGAGUCCAAAUCUUGGUCGUCCUUCAAUGAAAAGUAUGAUGGGUGGAAGUGGAGUUGGAGGUGGAAUGGGUGGAAAUAGGGAUCCAUUCGGUUCUUUGGUUGAUUUUGGAUCGAAACAACAAUCUGGUAAUCUUAAUGCAGCAAGUAAAAGCGGUACCAAUGCUGGAGAUAAUGCAUUUGGAGAUUUUCAAAAUGCUGCAAAACCAAGCACAACAACAACAUUUCCAUCAGGUGGUUUUGGUGUGAGCAACAGUAGUUUCAUGGGAUCCAAUACCGUUUCCAAUUCAAAGAUUGAUGAUUUCGGGAUGCCUGGAAUGGACUUUGCUUCUCAAAAGCAGUCUCCUGUUCAAACUUCGAGUGGGGAUCCACUUGACAUGUUCUUUUCCUCCUCCUCGGGAGGUACUGCAACAGCAUCUGCAGGAGCAGGAGAGCAGCAGUUCUCAGAAGUUGAUGACUGGGGAUUGGAUUCAGGCUUUGGAGGAGGAGCUGGAAAUGAUUCAGGUGGUGCCACCACUGAGCUUGAAGGGCUUCCACCGCCCCCUGCUGGGGUCACAGCCUCUAUAGCAAAGAACAAAGGUGUUGAUAAUCAAAAGCAGGGGCAAUAUGCAGAUGCCAUCAAGUGGUUGUCUUGGGCUGUUGUACUUCUUGAGAAAACUGGUGACAAGGCUUCUACCACAGAGGUUUUGUCAUGCAGAGCUUCAUGCUAUAAAGAAGUUGGAGAGUAUAAGAAAGCAGUGGCUGACUGUACAAAGGUAUGAUCAUGUCUUACAUUUUUCUCAAUGGUUCUGUUUACUUGUCUUCUUGCUCAUUGAUUUUAGACUUUUGGUUUGAUGAUUUAUGAAUUCAAAGUGUGUCUUUAUAUGCGUAUGGAAAUUAAUGAAUUGAGCCUACUUGCCAUAUGCUUUGAGGCUGUAAUGCAUCAGAAUUUCACUUAGGCUGUGUAGGAAGAAAAGGAUAAGCUAUUUGGUGGAUGGUACGGUUAGAUAUAUGAACUCCUCAAGUUUUGUUGAUAGGUUGUUUGCUCCAAGUAUCUUGAUUGACUGGUCCGGUGCUUCUUGUUUUGGACUAUGAUAGCAUUUGCUUGUUACAAACUACUAAGUGUUGCCCACUCGAAGGUCUGUGUCUUUCAUUAUGGUGUUGAUGUGUUGCACAACGCAGACUGCAGUGUGCUAUUGACUUGAUUUUCUGCAUGCGAGAGUGCAGGCACCUGCUUUUUCUUGCAAAUGAUAUGAACUUUUUUUUCCUUUAUCAAUUUCCUACAUUGGAGUAGGAAAUUUAUAGUCUCCUCCGUGCUAUGUAGGUUCUCGAAGAUGAUGAUGGAAAUGUAUCUAUCCUUGUACAACGUGCACUCCUGUACGAAAGUAUGGAAAAGUACAAACUUGGGGCCGAAGACCUGAGGACUGUUCUGAAGAUUGAUCCUACUAAUAGGAUUGCAAAGAGUACCAUUCACCGCUUAACUAAAAUGGUAGACUAGAGAGAUUCUGCAAUUUGCAUUUGUAUCUUAGCUUUCCAUUUUGAUUAAUACAUCUUCCCUCUCACUAAAUCUGAGGGGAAUGAGGACAUUCUGUUCAAGUAAAUGUAUUUCAAUUGAUAAUCAUGGCAUACAUAUAGGAUGGGUGGAAUUUCAUUUGUUUUGAUUGUGAUGGAAUAUAGUCCUUAUUCGAUACUUAAAAAGAAGAGGCCUGGAAUUUUCCUGUUGAUUUUCUCUGCUUAUUCGUUGAAGUUUCAAUGUUUCUCUUAUGUAUUGUUGAAGUUCCAAUGUUUCUCUCAUGUAUUGCAGAAGAUACUCGAUUAUGUUUUUUGCUUAAUAGUUACCUCUAUUUUUGUGGUUUAACCAAUUAUCGUUCAGGCUGGGCUUAGAACUCUUAAUUUAAGAGAAACUAGUUAUGUAUUCCCACUGCCGUAUGAUUGUGCCCCUUUUGGCAAUGAUGUCAGUAUGGGCUUCUUUCUUUUUUUUAAUUCCGUCCAUGAUGGACCUUGUAUGAAAAUGACUAGAGAAUGCAGAAUGGAGGUGAACUUGGUGAGCUACGGCACUUACAUGCCAAUUUUGCUAAGAUGCAAGUUAGCAAGUACAAUUUUUGCUGCUUCAUUAGUACUUUCAUUGUUGGCUUGGCACUGCAAUAUAAUCGGCUCCAUUCCCAAUGGCAGCGGUUAUGGAAGUAUUUCUUGGCGGUUCAAACUUCAAAGUAUCUAUCUCCUCUGAUGUAAGAACUUGGUAUUGGGAUUGGGAGUUCUUACACAGAGGAUAUGAAUUCCUUACAAGUCGAGAUAGCUUGCAAGUCAAAGCUAAGCUGUGAACUGGAAUAACACCUAGAAAAGAAUUAAAAGAAAACGCGUGAAGCAUGUAGAAACAUUUCUUGGGAGGCAGAAACAGACAGAAAAAUUUUGUAAUUUCUCUGCAAAUUUCAGCGUUGUUUCUCUGUUUCCUAAAAGCCUGUAAGACCUUUGUGUGCGUGUGAUGUAAUACUAUCCUUUCGAAUUCGGCAAUCAUUUUCUCCAAGGAGAGAAUGCUUAUCUGUAUGAUUAAGCCCAAGAAGACAAAUUCAUGAGCAUGAGCUACUCCCAUGGUUUUCUCUGAGCCCAACUGCUUCUUGCAGAUAAAAGUUUCUGACUGCCUAUCAUGAAAAUAACUCAUAAAACACACAAAUAUUACUUUUUUAUACAAGAAAUGUUAAUUAUGUGUAUAUCAAAAUAAAAGAAUCACCAUAGCCCCUCGUCUUACUUGAUAUUGACAAACUGUAAGUAUGCAUGCAUUACACCUGUAAAUAAAAUUUGCAAGCGCCCGGUACACACGGUAAAAUGAAAAUGCAUACGAAACUAUAUCUCUUCCGUUCUAAAAUAUAAGAAGUUUUUGUGCGGGAUAAAAAAGUAAUUAAUUCUCUCAAAUUUUAAGAAAAUUACUGAUAAUUUGACUAAAUUGUAUGUUAUCUCACAUCCUCCCUUCUAUCUUACAUUAUUAUAUUAUAUCUAAUAUAAAUAAAAGAAAAUUUGAAAAAAAAAAUUAUUACUUUUUAAAAUAUUCUGAAUAAUUUAUAUUUUGAGACAAGUAAUCAUCCUAAAACUAAAACAACUUAUAUUUUCGGACUCAGAGAGGAGUACAAAAGUACUUAAAUUAACUAACUAUAAAUAAUAAAUUUUAUCAAGAUUUCGUUAAUAAAUUAAUUUGGAUUGUUUUACCAAUUUAAGCCUAUCUUAUUUUACUCUGUCUGAAUAGGGACAGUAAUAGGGUAAAUUUCUCCCAAUUAGAAGUAAAUUUUGUUUUAACACCUAAUCUAUUUCUGUAUGUAGUUUGUGUUUUUACCCUUGUUUACCAAAAUAAAAAAUAAAAAAUUCAACCUCUUGCGUUUCUCCAUUGGUGGAGGAGGACUAAAAAGUAAAAACAAAAAAUUCCCUUCAAUAGGCAGGGCUGGGCUGGGCGGUUAUAGUUUUGGACCAACUCUUUGCAUGCGUUACAGCAGACUGUACAAAAAGCCAGCACAAUUUGCUCAACCAAUUAGAAAUAGCCACGUAAACUCUUUUAAUAACCCACUUGUCACUUAAGUACCGGACACGGUCGCAACUAUAAAAUCCUAGGCUUAAUAUCUCUGGAUGGGCCAAGGCCACGUUUAUCUCUAAUCUCUCCUGGCUUUUUCCAUUUCCUAAUUUUUUCUACCUGAUUCAAUCUCAACCGUCCAAUCAUAUACCCGAAAAAUGACAAAUGUGACCCACAAAAAGUUUAUGAGCUCGUCUUUUUCUAAUAGAUUAGUUGUAACCGUCACUCUAUAAAAACCGUGCCUUCUGUUUCCUCUUAUCUCUCACUUGAAUACCCACAACUUCUCUCCUGCAAACAUGUGCGGAGGUGCUAUUAUUUCAGAUUUCGUCGCCGUGAAACGUAGCCGGCGAUUGAACGCCGAGGAUCUCUGGUCUGAGCUUGACACUUUCUCUGACUUUCUUGGCUUGGAUUAUCCUAAUAAUGGCAAUAAAGAAGUCCUGCCUUCCCACUUUGAUCUUGAACUCCCUCAAAAGCCGAACCAGCUCAACGAAGGUAACACUUUCAUUUUUCAUUUUUAUUUUCUAAUGGAUAUAUAGCAAUGGAAAUUAUUUUUGAAUUUAAACUGUUUAAUUUGUUUUAUGGAAUUUAGUGGAGAAGAUAACAGAGAAGGCAAGUCAUAGUCAAGGCGAUGUAAAGGAAGGGAACAAGACCAAGAGAACUCGAAAGAAUAUUUACAGGGGAAUAAGGCGAAGGCCAUGGGGAAAAUGGGCGGCUGAAAUCAGAGACCCGCACAAGGGCGUACGUGUUUGGCUUGGUACUUACAACACAGCUGAAGAAGCCGCUCGAGCCUACGAUGAAGCUGCCAAGCGUAUCCGUGGUGAAAAAGCCAAGCUUAAUUUUGGCCAGUCACCCCCAUUAGCCCCAGCUCUGGUACCUCCAUACAAGAAGCGUUGCUUGAUCAAUCCUGGCAUGGCCACUGCUAGCUACCAAAUGACCGCGCCACCGCCAGAACCGUACGCGAGUCUCGGUUACCAAAAAGAAAUGGCUAGUGAUUAUAAGCUGAAAGAGCAAAUAUCGAGCCUGGAAAUGUUUCUCGGUUUGGAGCCUGAAGAGAUGGCAGCUCAGCUGAGUUGUGAGGGGUUUAACUCGGUGGACCUAUGGAUGCUGGGUGACCUCGUCAGCCACCAUCAGAAUCAUGGCCUACUCCCCUAUUAAGUAUAUAAUUAAAUUACUAAAUCUAGUAAUUAGAUAUGGUGGUUGUGUUUAAUGUUUUAUAGUAUUUUAAUUAAUGCCCUUGUGCGUUUCUGUUUAGUAAGUUAUGCUUGAGCUGAGACUGAUUGCUUCUAUUAUUGGUUUUGAUAAUAUGCGUGCAUAUUAUGUCUUCAAUUGUUCUAAUUUGUCGUUUUAAUUACGGUUUAAUAAUUAAUAUUAACGUUAGACAAAUUAUUAAAUCUCACAUUCAGAUAUUAUGAUUUUUAUUAAUUUGAAAUUAAAAAGCCUUUGACAGCAAAAGUAAAAAUGAUGCUUUCUUUGAUUAUGCUUUUGUUUGUAAAUGCAUGUCUUUCGGCUAAUUAAAUUGUAAUUACUGAAUAAGUAGUAAACAAUACACAAGUAAAGACCUGUAGACACGAAUAGUUAUGCACCCAAUUGAGAAAUUCCCACUUUGAUUUUUCUUCUAAGUAUUCUUCAACCACCCACAUUGAAACAUCAGUAUGUUCAUAUGUUGAAUGUUGAAAUUUUUACCAUUUAAUGAAUUAACCAAUUUGGAAACUUUAACCAAAAUUUGACUCUUGAUGAGAAAUUUCUUCUGCCUUAGGAGUAAAAGCCUAGCUUAUAGCUAUAUGUAAUGUUUUAGUAUUGAUGGAAAUUCCGUUCUAAUUAUUAUUUAUUUAUUAUAUUGGGAAUAAUAAAAUAAAUAAAAAAAAUGUGCAAAUGUAAGGAUAUUUGAAGAGAAUACGAUGAAAUAAGCAAAAUAUUCUAAUUCGAAAAUCCACAAGCUACAAUUAGGAAUAAUAGUUACCUAUAUGUCAAAAUAACCCUCCUAAUAUUGAAAUAAAUUUUUUUUUUCUUAAGGAUUUUUUUCACUUUUUAUAAGAACAAAAUUAAGGAAAAAUUUUUGAUUUUAUUAAUUUGUCAAAUUUAUCUUUUAAUAAAAAAAAAAAGUAACAGAAACAUAAAUAAAAGUAUUUGAUUGAUAAUAAUGACAAAAUAGUCUCCAAUUUAUUAACUUUUAAUUAAAAUUUAAAAAACAAAUAAUUAAUUUUUAAACAUCUCAGUAUUGAAAAGUGUCCACCUAAUAAUUGAAGAUGCAUGAACCAAACUCAAUGUGCAAGCAGUAGACUCCAAGGUGGGACUACCUUAAUAACAAUGACAAUUUUCUGGAUUAAAAAAUUCAUCAAACCCAUUUUCUUUGUCUUCCAUGAUCAAUGAAAUCUACUGUUUGCGUUGGAAUAUUGAAUUUUUAAAUAUGGAUAAUGUUAGCUGACUCACCUCAUCGAAUGGAAAAACCCCAUUGUUCCUUCAACUUGGUACUGAAUACUUAUAAGAACUUAGUCAUUGUUCGUUGCAUCUUCUUCCUGAGAGAAGUCCAUCUCCAUCCAGCGCCCAUUGCAACUUGCUAAUUCUUGAAAGGCGAACUUUCCAUCGUUGUCUCUCAACAGAAACAUAACCAGUAGAAAGUUCGCAAUCGCAAUACAUCAAUUGCUUUUUGGAUCGUUCGAUUUCAUAGAUAAGCGCGUAAGUUCCAAGUUCAUUAACUCAAUCAUAGCUAAAAUCAUAUUAAAAUCACAAAAAUCUUUUUUUUUUUUUUAAAGAAAAAUCACAAAAAUCUUUUUAUGAUUGGACUCUGAUCUUUGGUGAUAUGAAAUAUUUUCCAACGUUAACAUGCGCAAUUCAACGGUCCCAUAAACGAAACCAAGAACGAAGAAAUGCAUAUACCAUCACCAAUACCAUUAUUAACUGUUCAAAGCUAGAAAAAGGAAUAAAGCGUCUUUGUCUGUGACUGUGUGAUGAAAUAAAAUUCGAGAAGGAAGUCAAACGAUCCAUAGAUUUGAGUGUGUCUGUACCUUUCAGCAAAGAAAAAGACAAAUUCAAUUGUCAUUUGAUGUUUGGAACCAACAACCAAAAUGAAAGAGGCAAAUUUAAAAUGGAGCAAAGCAGGUCAUUUAAAAUGAAAGAAAAGAAAGAAAAAGGCAAAAAAUUAUGGUGCAACCAUAGUAACUAUUUUUUCUUAGUAAGUGUAAAAUUCAAAAGAAGCAAAUUUUUAUGCGCCAGAUGGAGUAAAGAAAAAUCUCAAAUCAACAAUCCUAAUUUCCUCAAGACCUUAGAAAUUUUGUUUUACCUAUCUGCGACAAAGACGAGGUGCUAGCGUGGAUAGAUUCCAAGCAAGAAUAUUAUCAGAUAGACUGUUAGCUUAGCUAGCAUACAAGAAAUCAACGAAAGUGCCUAUAUUGGGCUUCACAAGGUCACAAUAAAUAAUCUCCAUUUUGUCUUAACUAUAGGUAGGCCAUAUUUAUGUUCAGAUCCAUGCGACACAUCAAACCCGCACUUAACACAGUUCACAUGCACAACCACUCUUUGACGACACACGCAACCAAAGCAACUACAUUCUUCCUUUCCACAUCUAAAUCGAGAUCUCUUCUCAACAUGUACUGAUGAUAUCAGUGGCCUUGUCAACAUAUUUAGCUGGAAUAAAAUCAAUACUUCCAAACAGUAAUUCUCAUAGAUGAAAGGGCUCUAACAGGACUAAUGCUCAUCACACAAUACAAAACAAUACAUGCUAAAACCCAAAUAUAACUCUAAAAUAUAUGCAGCACAACAUAAAAAGGAUUCGCCAAUUCACAGCCGGGAUAUCAUUUCAUCCUUUAUUCAGCAUUUUCGGAAUUAAAUUCUUACCUAUUCAUCAAAUCUCUGCUUCUUGUCGCAGAGUCUCUGAACACGUUGACCUUGCACUCAAAUGUAUUUUGCUUAAAGUUAUAACACCCGAAAUACAAGGGCAGUUUCCUUUGUAUAAUGGUGUGAGUCAUGACAAUCAGCUAGGAAACUGGGUUCCAGUAUGCCAUUAUGAGAAGAUUAUUGAUUUCUAUGAAUGAUUGUCAAGCUUUAAUUGAUCAUUUGCACAAGAUCCUUUCAAACCGGUGAUCAAAUCAAAUAAUAAGAGUUCUGAUGUAAUUCAGAACCAGUAAAGCAAAUUACUUCAUAAGACACAUACAUUGGUCAAUCACAGAGAACUAACAUAAAUACCUCCAAUGGGAUGAAAACACUGAUGGGCUAUAAUAAAUGAUUCAGUUUCAAACAACUCAGAGCAUAACAUAAUAUGAUAAACUAAUACAAGAAUUGAAGUUCAAUUUUUCUUUUUUUUUUUUUUUUUUUUGGAAAAAAAAGAACAUUGGUUUCAUAGAGAAUGCGUCUGAUGAGAUUUGGUUAUUAAUAUAGGAAAUAAUGGAAGUAGCACCAGCAGAUCUAACUCUUCAUGGUUAAUACUGGACAUUUUGUAACCCAGCAGAAAUCCAUGGUUUCUUGGCAGAGAAAAGAUAACUGAUAUCAUGCACCAUCAACAUCUCACAUGAUGGUAGAUAACAAUUUGAGAACUCACCUUAGGAAGUUUCAUGUUUAACGACCAUCAUCACAAUGCUGGAAACAAGAGAAAAGGAAGAGGAAAAACACCCUAGCUGUUUGUAAAAAAUUCAUUUAUAUCCAAACAUCAGUCUAUUGUAUACAUGAAGGCAUAUGAACCAAAGAUGAUACAAUUAACAGAUCAGAUCACCAUUAUCCAGUUUCAAGAAAAGCAAGAUACUUGUAUCGCCAUAGGCCAUUUACUUGUGCAAACUAAAAUGAAUCUAGAAUCUCGACAGAGUUAUAGUAUCAGGUAAUUAUUGUCCUACUUGUUAAGGAACUCAAAUUUAUAAGUUGAGGCGUCUGUCACUGAAUAAAAAAACUUGAUAACGAAAUGCACCGACAAAAAAAUUAAAACAAUAAUAAUAAAAAAAAGCACCUCAUCAAUUCAGAGAAACAAUGUGGAUUAAUAUAUGUAUGUAUAUAUAUAUAUAUAUAUACACAAUAUGUACAUUUAUCUGUGAAAGAAAGCUAAAGCGAGUAGUUUAUGGUACCAAUCAAUUAUCCAAUUAAAUACAAUUUCUAUUACCCCAAUUCCCCCCAUUCACAAAUUUCAAAUAUCAGUUACCAAAUAAGGAUGCCGAAGUGAAUCUAAUAAGAAUUUUCGCUCUCGCAGCAUCAGCAAUCCCACCUGCAAUGAUCCUCACAGCCUUCUCGAACGCAAAAUGCAUGCAAGUCGACAGGGCAAUCCAAUAAAUCACUUCAUAAACGAAUCCAUAAGCAAACCUUGAAGACGAUGACCAUGAUGACUCGUCCCAAUUUUGGCCUCCAAAUCUAUCGAAAUUCCACCCUCUACCUCCGCCCCAACUUCCACCAGCUCCACCAAACGGGCCAUCACCGUCACCAUCACCACCAAAGAAUCCGAAAUCUUCGCUGCCGUCCUCAUCUCCGCCGCUGCCCGAUCUCCGCCUAGUUCGCCGUUUCUUGCGAAGAAGAGUCCGGCGAGUUGUUUUGUACGAGUUAGGUUUGACAGGCGGAGGAGCCAGCGCAUCGAAAAUAACGGUGUACGUUUGCAGAACUCUGGCGGAGAGAGUGAGAUUGCAAUUAGAGAUUAAAUUUUGGCGUUGGAGAUGCGAAUUCGCAAUCCCUACCCCUUGCUGUGUGGCUAUCGUUACCCCAUCGGCGGCGAGAAAAAUAUCCAUCAUAAUCUCCUAUUGGAAGAGAUAUAAUUGAAUUAUGGAAUGAGAAUUCCGAAUUGUGAGGGAACAGAAGGGCAAUGAAUUUAGGGAUUUUAUAUUCCCGGCAAUAUCCAGGAAAAACAAGGAAUGAGAAAAGAAAAUCUUCUUGUAAUGGGAACUUGAUUCGGUGAAAUGGCAAGAACGAGAAUGUGUGAAUAGUAAACGGAACGUGUUCUGUGUUGGCGGGUUGGGUCGAAGCUGCAUUAGCUUCAGAUAUUGACGCGUGGGUCAAUUUGGAUUUGGAUGCUUGAAAACACGAUUUUCAAUUGAUUGGUUGAUGGGCUAUUUUCGGAGCCAAAAUUAAUGGGCUUUGAAUCUGCAGACUCUUUUGGGCUUCAAAUUAAUGUUCAAUGCCAACCUCGAAUUCAAGGCCAUUAAAAUAAAUCUAAUUAAAAAUAGUGUGAAGUUUAUGCAUUUUAUGAAAUGCUUAUGUUUCAUUAUUUUUCACUAUUCUUAAAUAGGAUUGAGAUUUUUUAAGUUAAUUUUUUUUAAUGAUGAUAUAUUGAAAAGUAAUUCAUAGAUCCUUUUUGGAUUCGAGAAUAUCAAAAAUAUUAAAAUAAGCUAUAUGAUAUAUAUAUAUAUAUAUAUAUAUAUAUUCUGAAUAUUCCAGUGGAGACAUUUAAGAAUGGAUAUUUUAAUUUUAUAAAGUUGAACGAAAUAUUUUUUUGUAAUUCAUUUUUCAGGGGUAUUGUUGAAACGUAGAGAAACUAUUGGGUCAACUAGGAAAUUAUAGAUACAUCUUGGUUAGUUUAUGCAAUUGUCCGAAAAGAAAAACCCUAACCCUAAUUACUAUCCUGUUUGCCAUGGUAUAAAAUUGCGUUGGCUUCUAUCUGCAAAAACCCUCUAGUUGCCACUUACACCGGGAGAGCAGAAAGAGAAAACAUGGUAUCGCUAAAACUACAGAAGCGGCUCGCCGCUAGCGUUCUCAAGUGCGGGAAAGGCAAGGUCUGGCUCGAUCCUAAUGAGGUCAAUGAAAUUUCCAUGGCCAAUUCCAGUAAGUUUCCUUUUGUUUUUUUAAAUCCGUCGUUUCACUUUUUUUUUUUUUUCUUGUGAAACCUAAGAUGUAUUAACUUUAGAUCACAGCGAAUUUGAAUGGCACGUACAGUUUGAUCUGUAAGUCGUGAAUCUUCUAUAGUUAAUUGCCAGUCUAAAUAGUACAUAAACUUCAGAAACCCAAGCAAGACCUGUGCAUCUCUCCUAUUUCAAUUGCUCACAAAAACAGUUGUAAAUGACCUGCUACGUCUUGCUUGAGAUUAUUAGGCGAUAAAUCGUUUGAGGUGGUCGUUGUGUUAACGAGUUGCUGCCCAUUUCUUGUCCUAUAAGACUUUCUCCCAAUUCAAGCUGGUCAUGGAUUUUAUGGAUGAAGAUGUUGGUUGUCGCUGUUAUCGAGAUGAUUGUGAGUUUGGUCGGAUGAAGAAUUUCAAGCGAAUUUUUUUGAUAAUUGAAUCUGACAUGGGAUUUUUGAGAGCAUUUUUCUGUAUUGAAUAGUACUAUUCAUUUAUCAAUCAAAUUGCAUCGUACUGAUUCCACACCUGGCAAGAUAGGCUUGGUUGACAGGCUUCUCUUUGAAUUGAUUCAUUAUAUGCAAUAUACUAUUUUGUUAUGCUUAUUCCCUUUUUAUAAUCUGUGUGUCAUUUCUGGUAGUUACUGUUAUGAUCUGGGAAUUGUUGAAGAAACAAAUAUACUAUUGCCACAUUGAUUUUUUUUCCUGGACCACCAUAGUAUUGUUCAUCAUGAUUAAUGAAUGCAGGGCAGAACGUUAGAAAGCUAGUGAAGGAUGGUUUCAUCAUUAGGAAGCCAACAAAGAUUCACUCUCGUUCUCGUGCACGCAGAAUGAAGGAGGCCAAGAGAAAGGGUCGUCACUCUGGAUAUGGUAUGGUUCAUUCUGAAAUAUCUGCGUCUCUUUCAGUUUGAUGUACUAUCAAGCUUUGUACAUCAAAAUGAUAGUAAGCUCAGACUUCAAAAAAAACUAUAUCUUUUAGAUGAGUCACUGUUCGACGUACUUCCUCAAGGUCUUGAUAAACAGUAUGAUGCACAUUUAUCUUUUAAGGUAAGCGCAAGGGUACCAGGGAGGCUAGGCUGCCAACCAAGAUCCUUUGGAUGAGGAGAAUGCGUGUCCUGAGGCGUCUGCUGCGCAAAUACAGGGAAUCCAAAAAAAUUGACAAGCACAUGUAUCAUGACAUGUACAUGAAGGUAAAGGGUAAUGUAUUCAAGAAUAAACGUGUGCUGAUGGAAAGUAUCCAUAAAUCAAAGGCUGAAAAGGCAAGAGAGAAGACUUUAUCUGACCAAUUUGAGGCUAAGCGUGCAAAGAACAAGGCAAGCAGGGAGAGGAAGAUAGCCAGAAGAGAGGAGCGUUUGGCUCAGGUAAGUUGAAAAUACUUGUAUUGUUAAUGUCAACACAAUGAAGACCAAUUUAUUUUUAAACAAUUGUGUUCUAUCAUUGAUUGGAAAUUUAUUUCUCUGUUUCUGAAUCAUAUGGUAAUUUCAUUCUCUUGUAUCCUAGGGGCCUGGAGAGAAGGCACCACAAGCACCUGCCCCACAGCAGACCGAGUAAGAUGCUAAGACUUUGUGUUCCUACCAAUGCCAUCUUUUAAUGCUUGAAAUUCAAUAUUUUUCCUUUGAUUUUGCAGGGGAGCAAAGAAAUCCAAGAAGUGAAUGUAAGACUGAUGAAUGCAGGAGGUUGAUACCUGAGUUAUCUUUAUGUCUGGUCUAGUAGGAGUUUGUCUCUUAAAGUUACUAUGUUUUCAUUUUCUGGGAUAUUUCUUUGAAAUAUAGAAUUUUUGAAUUCCAUGAGCCUUAGUUUCUUUUCUUAUAUGCUAAAUCAUGUUUUUGUUUUAUGAUAAAUUAGUUGGCUAAACGUGGUGGAACUUGCAGUUGUUACGUUGUAACCGCAUGAUUUUUAGUAUUCCAAAUUUUAAACCUAUAUUGGUCCCGUUUUAAGAUCUAGAUAUUCUUUUAGAUUCUCAGCUGUUACAUAGAAUGUAAUAAAGAUAGCUUUUGCAAGUCAUCGGGAGGGAAUUUUAGGCCUUCAAUGGAAUUUGAUUUAAGCCAUGGUCGUCGAAAAUUGAAACGUGGAAUAUCUGUAUGAUGGCAGUGAAGAGCUUGGUUCUUUAAUCAUACACGAGAUUGGCAUUGAUCGUCCAUUCUUUUACAGCGAAUUCUCCACUUCUGCAGUUCUACUACUUGGACUGUUUGUUUUAAAUAAAACGGUCUGUGUAUUUUUAUAUAAACUUUGCUAGUAAUAUUUUGAUAGUCUCACUUAUUAUUAUGCUAUGAUAAUAUACUCCCAUCCACUGAUAAGUAAUUUGGAUUAACGAAUUCAAGAAGCCCAAACGUUUUGUGUGACUAACACAUGGCGACUAUUAUUAAUAGCACAAGUCAGAAAGCCCUUUUUUUUAUUCUUUUUUAAAAGAAUUAACUAAUACAUUGUACAGUAGUACAUGGGUGCCCAAUUGAUAAAAUUGAUCGACGCUUAGUCCAUGCGCUCAUUGGAAAAACAUAAAAAAAUAAAAAAAGGUCCGUUUUCUUAAAAAUCGGACCAUCUACAACCCACAUAGAAAUACGGCAAUAUCAAAGCGACCACCAGAUUUGACGUCCCUCUCUCUCUCGUGUUGCUUGUUUUAAGAACUCGAAAGCUAGAAACCAACCAAUUCUUUCUCUCUCAACCUUUCCAGAUUUGACGCACUUUUCGUGUUUAAAAUUUGUUUCUAAGCUCGAAACUAACCAAAUAAUAUUUCAUUUAGUUAGAUCCAAGGAAACUAAUCUAUCCAAAACGACUAACCUCUCUCUCUCUUAAUCUCAAUUCUUCAGAGACCAAAUCCAAUUACAAACUAAACUGUAUAUCGAAUGGCAUCGUCGGAGCAGUUAAUGGGAGCGACUAGUGGUCCUCGCUACGUCCAAAUGCAAUCCGAACCGUCAACGACGCCGCAUCACCACCAGCAACAUCAUCAGCCAUCAAUGAUGUCUUCGUUUUUCUCUUUCUCGGGUAUCGCCCCGGAGUCCACUAGAAUUUUCGAGGAGUUGCCAAAGGCUACCAUCGUCUCCGUGUCUAGACCCGAUGCAGGCGAUAUUAGUCCCGUACUUCUAUCUUACACUAUCGAGUUUCAGUACAAGCAGGCACGAAUUUGUCUCUAUAAACUAUUAUUUUAUGUAUUUUGUGGAUUUCUUAUUGAAGUUGAUUCUAUUAUUCAAUUUGGAAAGGCCUUUGGCUUUUGGAGUCUACUUAGUUCCUUUAAACUUUUAUCAUUAGAGUGUUUUGUAUUUUUCUAAAAAUCAUCUGUUUCUGGAAUUUAUUUUUGGAUGUUAACGUUUUGCACUUUUUUCCAUCACUAGUUCAAAUGGCAGUUAUUGAAGAAGGCAGCGCAGGUGUUCUAUUUACAUUUUGCACUGAAGAGACGAGCUUUUAUUGAGGAAAUUCAUGAGAAACAGGAGCAGGUAUGUGCAAAAUGAUAGUACCUUUAAAUCUUUGGUUUACGUUAUUGCACCUUUUAGCUUUUCGUGUAUUCACAUUUUUUUGGGAGUUGUGUGGUUUUGAUGUACUUUUCAUUGGAACAUUAUAUUAAAGGUUAAAGAAUGGCUUCAAAAUCUAGGAAUAGGAGAUCAUGCUCCAGUGGUGCAUGAUGAUUAUGAUCCUGACGAUGACACUGUUCCUCUGCAUAACGAUGAAAGUUCUAAAAACAGGUGAUUAGUCUCACAUGUUAAGAUGACAAAAAACGUGGAAUAUGACCUUCUUUGUUGUAAACUUGUGAUUCUUAUAGUUCUUACAGGUGGAUUUUUUGUUCAGAGAUGUCCCAUCGAGUGCUGCCUUGCCAGUUAUUCGUCCAGCCUUGGGGAGACAGUAUUCCAUGUCCGACAGAGCAAAGGUUGCAAUGCAAGAAUAUUUGAAUCACUUUUUAGGAAACUUGGAUAUUGUCAACUCCCGAGAGGUAAGCUUUGAAAUGUUUCUGAGUACUGUUUGUGUUUGGAUGGUAUUUUCGCUCUCUGUGUCAUGUGAUGAUAAACCAUAUGAACUGCAGACAUCAAAAUUAGCUCGUUAUUAUUGUAGAUAGGUCAAAACCCUUGGUUGUUAGAGUUCAGCAAUUUGACUGCCUUUUCUUAUUCUGAAUUUUUAAUGUUUUUGGAUUGCAAAUUGCUUAGCAUUUGAAAUGUUUUCUUCAUCUGUAUUCCUUACCAUGCUAUUGUUUAUAUGUGCCCUUCAGCCUUCACAAUGGUCGAUUUGUAUUGUAGGUAUGCAAAUUUUUGGAGGUCUCAAAAUUGUCAUUUUCUCCAGAAUAUGGUCCUAAGCUAAAAGAAGACUACGUAAUGGCCAGGCACUUACCAAAACUUCCAAGUAAUGAUGAUUCUGGGAAAUGUUGUGCUUGCCAUUGGUUCAGUUGCUGUAAUGACAACUGGCAGAAGGUAACACAACCUUGUAGGCUUGAAGUAUGGUGCUGAACCGUCCGUAAUUUUUUAGUUAUAUAUAUAUAUAUAUAUAUAUAUAGAGAGAGAGAGAGCGAGAGAGAGAGAGAGAGAGAAACAAGAGGGCUAAAGAAAGUGAAUGCAGUACUUCCAUUACAUGACACAGGCAAUUUUGAAAACAGAAAAAAACUGAGACUGAAUUCUGCCUUUUGGAUUGGUUAUAGAAACUAGAGUUAUUUUCUCCUUGAAAUAGAAGUUGAUUUAUCCUUUAAAAUACUCAUCCAAAAAAUUGCAAAAGAAAUUUAAAUAGAAACUGGAGGUCUAUAGAAAGCGAAUGUAAGAGUUAUUAGCUAAUGAUUUUCUCAUUUUGGAUCUCUUUCGAUCUCCCAUCAAUUUGGUUUAUAGAUAUAUAAUCAGACUUGCAUGUGGGUAUCUUGCAAUAAACUGUAGCCAAAGAGCAACGUACAUAGGCAGAGCUCGAUUGUGAAGAAUAACUGAAAGCUUUGGUAAUCAAAGAUCAACAAAAUAGCAAGCAGCGGCAGACAAAGAGCGAGUUAUGUGAGAGAAUUGAAAAGAUUGAAAUGCCAGGAUAGAGUUUCUUUAGAAGUAUAAAGCACUAGCUCUAAAAAGUCACAGUUUAACUAAGCAAAUCUUUAUUAAAUUUUAAAGCUUAAAAAAACCAAAGUUAAAAUAAAAAUUUCCAAAAUAACAAGUGAACUGAAUUUCAGGUUUAACAAAACAAUCCUCACCUCUCCCAGUACAUAGGAAUCGCACCAGGAAGACAGAAAUAUAAAAGGAUUGCACAUUAUAAUUAUAUAUAACCCAAAACUUGUAGGAAUUUGACCUGCAAGUGCAGACAUUUGAUACAGUUCAUAUGUAUAAUAAUUUCUUCACGAAGAUCAUGCAAGCCUGUCCAUAGAUGUACGUUUUUGUAGGCCCAAAAACCAUUUUUCUACCAAAUGAUGUUUUCUUAUAUGAUCAGGAAAAAACAACUAUCCCCAGCUUCCUAACUUGUAGACUUUUCUACAUGCUACUGAUUCAAAGAUAGUUGACUUUAAAAAUGACCGAAUGAGGGAAUAAAACAAGUACCAAUGCUGAAUAUUCCUCAGAUUAAGGUAUAGAUUCUCAAUUAGGAGGAAUCACACAUUUCCCGGUUUAUGAUUUUGUACAGGUGUGGGCUGUAUUGAAACCCGGAUUCUUGGCCCUGCUGGCCGAUCCUUUUGAUGCCAAACCUCUGGAUAUAAUUGUUUUUGAUGUUCUACCAGCUUCAGAUGGUAGUGGCGAGGGUCGAAUAGCGUUAGCAGUGGAAACAAAGGAACGGAAUCCCUUACGUCAUGCAUUCAAGGUAAGCAGCCAAUGCAUCGUUUUCAUUGCUGGUGGAUGAUUUCUCUUUAUUUGUACUGUGUUCCUGGGAUUCAAUUAAACUUUUUUUCUCGGCAUCCGUCUUACAGUUUUAAUGACAAUGUUUUUGUAAUGGGCAACCCUAGUGCUCUGCUGAUAAUUGUGUAUCCUGGCUUAGGUGUCUGCUGAGUUUAUUGAAUGAAAGGAAUUCCUGAUAUAUAAUACUUGAAAAGCUACCAAUAUCUUCUUGAUUUGCUGAUGGCAUGCGCUCUUUCUGUGUGUUAGUGUCUGACUAAAUAUUCAAGUUGGCAUGUUUUUGAGAGAAGUGGUAAGGCAAACCACAGUAAAAUAGUUUAGAAGGAAUUUUUAAGUCUUUGUAUUUCCUCAAGAAUUGAAUGUCUAAUUAUGGAAAGCUUUUAUGCACAGGAUAGUUGACUCUUGUAAUUUAGGACUAUCUCUUGUGAUCUAACCAAGUAAUCUCUCUUAUUCUUUGAUAAAACCUUUAGAAACUCUAUGUGAAACUCAACCAAUCAUGCCUUUUUAGGUUUUGCAUAGACACUAGAAAAUAUGAAACUUGGAAACUGCCACUUGGAAUCUGGUCUCUCUACCUUGCUACAACUCAUUUCCAAACUCUCUCCAGAUUUACAGUUCUUCCCCCGAACAAGUUGGCUUUAGGGCUUAUAUGG
Molecule: long non-coding RNA, 52399 nt
Filed under: Jatropha curcas
Lineage: Eukaryota; Viridiplantae; Streptophyta; Magnoliopsida; Malpighiales; Euphorbiaceae
Description: long non-coding RNA (JCUR_LNC002543)
Source: RNAcentral